Molecule: long non-coding RNA, 67235 nt
Filed under: Hordeum vulgare
Lineage: Eukaryota; Viridiplantae; Streptophyta; Magnoliopsida; Poales; Poaceae
Description: long non-coding RNA (HVUL_LNC019543)
Source: RNAcentral
CCGCCGGGCCUCUCGAGCGACAAGACUAAUCCUCAAUGGCCCCCCUAGCCGGCCUGAGAGGCUGCCAGCCGACCCCCCCUAUUGUACCUAUUAUCCAUUUUGUAGGCCGGUGGGUUCGUCUAUAACCCCCCGGCCCCCCUCCAUGCAGAGGGCCAGCCAUUCUCACACCCACACACAUCACACAGGAGAGGCAGAUAGCGAGCCGGCUGCUCCUUCUUCCUCCUCCAUCGAACAGCUCAAGGAGCAUUUUGUAAUCACCUUGGUUCAUCAGCCAUUCCGAUAGGACUAGGGGUAUUAUCUCCCAUGGAGAGCCCCGAACCUGGGUACAUCGUGUGUCUUGCAUUAUUAGCUACCAAUCUCGUUCCCGGAGUCCACCGGUGUCCCUUCAGUCCCAACCACUCUCGAUAAGCCUACCCAUGGCAUUUGUCGUGAGAAAACGACGAUAGUUGGCGCCCACCAUGGGGCCGUCUGCGGCACCGGUCUGAGUUACGCUCGGGCGGGACCCUUCGCCAACCCUACCGGAUGCCUCGCGUCUCGACUGAUCAGCACACCCAUGGAGGCUGCCCCUGCGGAGGUUUCUGUGGUGUUGAUCGACAACUCAGCCCGUCUCGUCGGCUCUGCCAUUGAGAUCACCAACGAGCCUCUCGGUGACGGCGUUGCCCCUGACGUCGCUCGCCUCUGCGUUCUCUUCGACAACCUACGCCUCGAUGAUGAGCCUCGCCAACUUGGCAGGGACAUCGACAUCGAUGCCCUCUGCACACACUUCAACAAACUCAGUCUCGAAGAUGCUCCUGCACACGACGAGUACCUGAUACGUCUCCAACGUAUCUAUAAUUUUUUAUGGUUCCAUGCUAUUAUAUUGUCAAACUUUGGAUGUUUUGUAUGACUUUUAUAUCUUUUUUGGGACUAACUUAUUAACUCAGUGCCAAGUGCCAGUUCCUGUUUUUUCCGUGUUUUGACCCUUUUCACACGAGAAUAUUAAAUGGAGUCCAAACGGAAUAAAACUUCCGAAAAGAUGUUUUCCGGAACAGAAGAUACGCAUGGGGCAUGAGAACCAAGGCAGAGGCCACCAUGGGAGGCCACAAGCCCCCUAGGCGCGUCCAGGGGGACCUGCGCCUAGCAGGCUUGUGGCCCCCCUGUGGCUCGUCUGCCCUACUUCUUCCGCCUAUAAAUCCUCGAAAAAUCCAAAACCACGAGAGAGAUCGACGAAAAUACUUUUCGGCCGCCGCAAGCUUCUGUCCCCGCAAGAUCCCAUCUGGGGCACGUUCUGGUGCCCUUCCGGAGGGGGAUUCGGAUACGGAGGGCUUCUUCAUCAACACCAUUGCCUCUCUGAUGAUGCGUGAGUAGUUCACCCUGGACCUUCGGGUCCAUAGCUAGUAGCUAGAUGGCUUCUUCUCUCUCUUGGAUCUUCAAUACAAAGUUCUCCAUGAUCUUCAUGGAGAUCUAUCCGAUGUAAUAUUCUUUUGCGGUGUGUUUGUCGAGAUCCGAUGAAUUGUGGAUUUCUGAUCAGAUUAUCUAUGAAUCUUAUUUGAGUUUCUUCUGAUCUCUUAUAUGCAUGAUUUCAUAUCCUUGUAAUUCUCUUCGAGUUGUGGGUUUUGUUUGGCCAACUUGAUCUAUGAUUCUUGCAAUGGGAGAAGUGCUUAGUUUUGGGUUCAUACCGUGCGGUGACCUCACCCAGUGACAGAAGGGGUGGCGAGGCACGCAUCGUGUUGUUGCCAUCAAGGGUAAAAGGAUGGGGUUUAUAUCUAUUGCAUGAAGUUAUCCAUCUACAUCAUGUGAUCUUUCUUAAGGCAUUACUCUGUUCGUCAUGAAUUCAAUACACUAGAUGCAUGCUGGAUAGCGGUCGAUGUGUGGAAUAAUAGUAGUUGAUGCAGAAAGUAUCGGUCUACUUGUCUCGAAUGUGAUGCCUAUAUGUAUGAUCAUUGCCUUAGAUAUCGUCAUGACUUUGCGCUGUUCUAUCAAUUACUCGACAGUAAUUUGUUCACCCACCGUAAUAUUUGCUAUUUUGAGAGAAGCCUCUAGUGAACACUAUGGCCCCCGGGUCUACUUCACAUCAUAUUUUCAGCCUUACACUUUUACUUCAUUGCACUUUCCGCCUUCAGAUCUCACUUUGCAAUUAAUCUUGAAGGGAUUGACAACCCCUUUAUAGUGUUGGGUGCAAGCUCGUUUGUGUUUGCGCAGGUACUCUGGACACUUGGCUUGAUUCUCCUACUGGAUUGAUACCUUGGUUCUCAAACUGAGGAAAAUACUUACUGCUACUAUGCUGCAUCACCCUUUCCUCUUCAAGGGAAAAACGAACGCAAGCUCUAGAGGUAACAAGAAGAAUUUCUGGCGCCGUUGCCGGGGAGGAUCAUGUCAAGAAUAGUCUCCCGUCAACGUGUCAAUUUCUGGCACCGGGGAUUAUUCUAAGUGAAGCUUAUCCAAGUAAGUGUCGCAAACUCAUCUCUUGAAUUUACUUUUUUUUGCCUCUAGUUUUCCUCUCCCCCACUUCUGAAAAAAACAAAAAUUUACAAAAAUAUUUUCCUUUUUCGUUCGCCCUUUUCCUUCGCUUGCUUCCUGCCUGCUUGAGUGGGAUAGUCUACCUUUCCUCAUGGCUAGACCUACCGCUUCGAACGAUACUCCCGAGAGCGAAGUUCUCAAUUUUAAACAAAAUUAGGAAGAAGACUUAAAUGACGCUUGGUAUAGGAUUUGCAACACUCAGAGUAGAUCUACUCGUAAGCAAUCUACUACCGUCCUACUUCGCAGCUUUUAUGUGGGUAUUUACCCUUGGAAUAGGUAUGUUCUUGAUACCAUCGUAGGUGGAAGUUUCUUGGGUAGCCAUACCGUUGAUUCUUACGGUGCUUUGAUAAAUCUGGUAGGCUCACCCCCACUCAUGGUUAAUGGAACCAACUUAACUUUGGAACAUGUGAUGCGUAGGUUGGAUAUCAUUGAAAAUAAAGUUGCUACGAUUGAACUCAUUGAGAAUUUGGAUAAAAAGAUCCACAAUCAAAUCACUCAGUACGGAUCCAAGGUGGGAAUGGCUUUGAAAAAUCUAAAGGAGAGGGAACCCACAGUUAACAAAAACUAGGUCAUCAUUCCGCUAGGAUUGGCAAACUAGAGGAUGUUAUAACCAACUUGGGUUCCGCUUUUGCCGCUGUGCAGAACACUCCAAUUUUUACCCACAAUAAGGCCACCAAGUUUGUUUUUGUUCCUAAAAAUAGUGGUGAACCAUCUAGUAAUAUAGAUGAAGACCUUAAGAUGAUGAGGGCUAUUUAUGGUUUGAGCACCAAAGACGAGGAUAUGUGAUUCUUUCACCUUAUGCCUAGCUAAGGGCGUUAAACAAUAACGCUUGUUGGGAGGCAACCCAAUGAAUUUAUAUUUGAUUUUUGCUUUCUGUUUUGUUGCGUCCACACCAUCAUAAUUCUGUUAUGAUUGUGUCUUUUGUGUUUGAGCCAAGUAAAACCUUUAUGACUAGUUUGGUGAUGGUUGUUUGAUCCUGCUGGAAAAAGACAGAAACUUUUCGCUCACGAAAUUAUUUUUCAUUUUAAUCCAUAAAGAGAUUUUGAGUUGAUUCUUUUUGUUGCUGGUUGAUAUGGCAAUUGCCCAAACUGUCGUAAUGUUUCAGAAUUGUUGAGAUACCAGAAGUAUACGAAGUAUACAGAUUGCUACAGACUGGUCUGUUUUUGACAUAUUCUGUUUUUGUUGUGUUGGUUGCUUGUUUUGAUGAAACUAUGUAUAGUAUCGGGGGGGGCGGGUACUGAUACGUCUCCAUCGUAUCUACUUUUCCAAACUCUUUUGCCCUUGUUUUGGACUCUAAUUUGCAUGAUUUGAAUGGAACUAACCCGGACUGACGUUGUUUUCAGCAGAAUUGCCAUGGUGUUGUUUUUGUGCAGAAAUGAAAGUUCUCGGAAUGUCUUGAAACUUUACGGAGAAUAUUUAUGGAAAAUAUGAAAAAUACCUGUGCAAAGAUCCACCGGAGGGGACGGGCCAGUGGGCCACAAGCCCUGUAGCCGCGGCCUCCCCUCUGGUCGCGGCUACGAGGCUUGUGGGGCCCACGUGCCUCUGCCGCCCCCAAUUCCAGCGCUAUAUAUUCCCUUUCAUCCCGGAAAAAAUCAAGAGAGAAGAGUUCAUUGCGUUUCACGAUCCAGAGGCGCCUCCACAUCCCGUUCUUGCCCUGGAGGGCAGAUCUGGAGUCUGUUUUGUGCUCCGGAUCAAGGAGAUCGUCGCCAUCGUCAUCAUCAACCUUCUUCCCUCUCCAAUUCCAUGAAACUCUUCAUCGUUCGUGAGUAAUCUAUUCAUAGGCUCGCUGGGCGGUGAUGAGUAUGAUGAGAUCUAUCAUGUAAUCGAGUUAGUUUUGACGGGGAUUGAUCCCUAGUAUCCACUAUGUUCUGAGAUUGAUGUUGCUACUACUUGGCUAUGCUUAAUGCUUGAAACUAGGGCCCGAGUGCCAUGAAUUCAGAUCUGAACCUAUUAUGUUGUCACCAAUAUAUGUGUGUUUUAGAUCCGAUCUUGCAAGUUGUAGUUACCUACUAUGUGUUAUGAUCCGGCAACCCCGGAGUGACAAUAACCGGAACCACUCUCAUUGAUGACCAUAGUUUGAGGAGUUUAUGUGUUCACCAAGUGCUAAUGCGUUGGUCCGGUUCUUUAUUAAAAGGAGAACCUUAAUAUCCCGUAGUAUCCAUUUGGACCCCGCUGCCACGGGAGGGAUGGACAAUAGAUGUCAUACAAGUUCUUUUCCCUAAGCACGUAUGACUACACACGGAAUGCAUGCCUACAUCACAUUGACGAACGGGAGCUAGCCACAUAUCUCUCCGUGUUAUAACUGUUGCAUGAUGAAUGUCAUCCAACAAAUCACUGAUCCAUUGCCUACGAGUUUGUCCCACUGCUAUUGUUACUUGCUGCUGCUGUUACUUGCUUUGCUCUGCUGCUGUUACUACGGUUGCUGCUACUGUUACUUGCUUCUACUAUUACUUGCUUCGUCAUGCUGCUGCUGCUACUACUGUUGCUACUACUGUUACUUGCUGUUGCUGUUACUUGCUACUGUUGCUAAUUGCUACUCCUAUCACUACUGCUGUUCCUUGCCACUACUGUUACUCGUUACACUGCUGCUACCUGCUACAAUACUUUUCUGGUGCCAUUGAUACUUCAGUUAGGAAUAAUCUGUCGUCAACAGAUUCUUUCCUAGCACCGUUGCUAUCAUACUACCUUUGCUGCUUAUAUACUGCUUGCAGAUACUAAUCUUUCAAUUGUGUUUGAGCCAACAACUCAACUGCUAAUACUGGAGAAUAUCCUUUCAUUCCCAUCGUGUCGAACCAACAAAUUUGGGUUGAAUACUCUACCCUCAAAACCUGCCGCGAUCCCACACGCUGGUGGGCCAUUGCAAGACAAUUGCUAAUUGUUGAGCAACUGGAAACAACUCUUUUUUGGCACCGUUGCCGAGGAGGAAUAGCUAUAUUCUCUGAGUCACUUGGGAUUUAUAUCUUGUGAUCACUAUGAAGAAUCGGAAAGAUCUGAGAACCAAAGUCUUGCCCUCAACUCUGAGGGGAGGUAAGGAACUGCCAUCUAGCUCUGCACUUGAUUCACCUUCAGUUAUGAGUAAGUUUGCGACACCACCUCGUGCUAGAAAUCUUGAUAUGUCGCGUGUGCUAGAUGAUGCUAGAGAUGCUACUGCUAUUGAUGAUGCUUAUGAUGAUACUAUGCCUGAUACUGCUAGAGAUGCUAUGCGUGAUACUGCUAGAGAUGCUAUGCCUGAUACUGCUAUCCAUGAUGCUAUGCUUGAUGCUGCUUUGCCUGAUGAUGCUAGAGAUGCUAUUUUGCCUGAUUAUGCUAUGCUUGAUACUGCUAGAGAUACUACUUUGCCUGAUAUGCCACUAGGGGUAUUCCUUGAUGCUCAUAUUGCUAGAGUUAUUGCCAAUGCUCGUGAUGCUUCUGAAACUCUCGAUACUAUUGAGAUAGAACCUGCUUUUGCUCCUGCUAGAUCUAGCUCUCCUAGAUAUGAAUUGCCUGAUAUACCUGAGGGUUAUGUUAUGGAGGGAGAGAUAGCUGAGGAUUUUCUUGCGUGUAAGGAUGGCUAUGACGCUGAGAAAUUACUUCUCAAGUGGAAGGAAAAAUCUCUGAAAGCUAGGAUGAAAUACAACCCGAAGUUUGCCACUUCACCUAUCUUUAUCACCGAUGAGGAUUAUGAAUUCUCUGUCGACCCUGAGAUAAUCUCUCUUGUCGAAUCUGAUCCUUUCCACGGUAAUGAGUUUGAGACGGUCGUAGCCCAUCUUACCAAACUACACGAUAUAGCCACCCUUUUCACUAGUGAGGAGAAGAUCCGCUACUACUAUAUCCUUAAGUUGUUUCCUUUCUCUCUAAAGGAUGACGCUAAAUCCUAGUUCACUUCUCUUGCUCCUGGAUGUGUGAGUAGUCCCCAGGAUAUGGUCUAUUACUUCUGUGAGAAAUAUUUCCCUGCCCAUAAGAAGCAAGCUGCCUUGCAGGAAAUAUACAACUUUGCUCAACUCAAAGAAGAGUGUCUCCCACAAGCUUGGGGGAGGCUCAUCCAGCUACAGAAUGCUUUGCCUGAUCACCCUCUUAAGAAGAACGAGAGACUUGAUAUCUUCUAUAACAGACUUACCGAUGCUUCUAGAGACCACCUAGAUAGUUGUGCCGGUUGUGUUUUUAGGGAACGAAUUGUAGAACAAGUUGAGAUCCUACUGAAUAACAUCUUGAUCAACAAUAAUGCUUGGACUAUUCCCGAACCACCUCCUAAGCCAUAUCCCAAGAAAAGAGGUAUUCUAUUCCUCAGUCCUGAAGAUAUGCAAGAAGCCAAGAAAUCUUUGCAAGAGAAAGGCAUUAGAUCUGAAGAAAUCAAAAAUCUACCGCCUAUCGAAGAGAUCCAUGCUCUCGAUAACCCGAUACAAGUAGUAGAGGUGAAUUCUCUGCGUAGAUUCAAUGAGAGUGAUAUUCCUUUUGAUAAACCUGCUAGCCUAUGCUUUGAUGAAUUUGACAACUUUGUUGCCAAACAACAAAGUUUCAAUGAUUAUGUUAGCAGACAAUUGGAACAACGUACUCACAUGCUUAGUCAUUUAAGUGCUUGUGUAGAGAGAAAUGUCAAUGAUCUGAAGCUUCUGAGUAAACAUGCCUCAAUGAUUACUACUCAGGUAGAACAAGUACUUAAAGCUCAGAAUGACGUGCUCAAUGAAUUAAUGACAACUCUGUCAGAGUCAUUACUAGAGGAGGCAAAAUGACUCAGGAACCCUUGUAUCCUGAAGGCCAUCCUAAGAGAAUUGAUCAACAUUCUCAAGGUAUUAAUGCUCAUACACCCAGUCAUCCUAAGAAUAAGAAGAAGGAUGAUAGAAACCUACAUGUCAGUUCACCAAAUACUGUAACACCUGAAGAACCAAAUGAUAUUUCUGCGUCUGAUGCAGAAACACAAUCUGGUGAUGAACAUGAACCUGGUGACAAUAUGGACAGCGAUGUUCAUAAUAAUGCUCAACCUAGCAAUGAUAAGGAUGUGGAGAUUGAACCUACGGUUAAUCCUGAUAACCCACAACCUAAGAGGUACGAUAAGAAUGACUUCACUGCUAGGAGGCAUGGUAAAGAAAGGGAGCCAUGGGUUCAGAGACCCAUGCCCUUUCCUCCUAAGCCAUCCAAGAAAAAGGAUGAUGAUGAUUUUGAGCGCUUUAUUGAAAUGUUGAGACCCGUCUUUCUGCGUAUGCGGUUAAUUGAUAUGCUCAAAAUGUCUCCAUAUGCCAAGUACAUGAAAUAUAUCGUGACCAAUAAACGGAAGAUACCAGAUCUUGAGAUCUCCACCAUGCUUGCCAAUUACACUUCCAAAGGUGGAACUCCUAAGAAACUUGGUGAUCCCGGAGUGCCCACUAUACCUUGCUCCAUUAAAGGAAACUACGUAAGAACUGCCUUAUGUGACCUUGGAGCCGGUGUUAGUGUUAUGCCUCUCUCUCUCUUUAUCGUAGACUUGAACUGGAUAAGUUGACACCCACUGAAAUUUCUCUGCAAAUGGCCGACAAAUCAACUGCUUUCCCUGUCAGCAUUUGCGAGGAUGUGCCUGUUGUGGUUGCUAACGUUGCUAUCUUAACGGACUUUGUUAUCCUGGAUAUUCCUGAGGAUGAUGCCAUGGCGAUCAUUCUUGGAAGACCAUUCUUAAACACUGCAAGGGCUGUUAUAGAUUGCAGCAAAGGCAAUGUCACCUUCCAUGUCAACGGUAAUGAGCAUACAGUGCACUUUCCAAAGAAACGAUAUCAAGUACAUUGCAUCAAUGCUAUCGAAAAAACAUCAUCGAUUCUUAUUGGGAGCUUUGAAUUCCCUAUUCCUCGUGUUAAGAUGAAGUAUGAUUUGCUUGUUGGGGAGAUUCAUGUCCCCAUUGAGGUGACUUAGUGGCUAUUCGACAAUUCUCUGUUUCCUUUUGCGAUUCGAAAAGGUUUUGUCGAGGGGAUUUGAUCAACCCCAUUGACGGAUUUCUUUCGAUGACCAUGAAAUGGAUGAAUCAAGGAGUCACAUACCUCUGUUUUAAGCUUUCACUUUCUGUUGUUUAGAAGGAAAAAUGAUAGAUUUAGUUUAGUUUUUCCUGUUUUCUGUUUUAGCGUCCCAGAGAAAAGUAUCCCGAAAAUAGAAGUUCUACGAUGGCCCUGAAAAUCAAAUAUGAUUUUUUCUGGUUUUUUUGAAAAAUACUGGGACUGAGAGCUGGCCUGGGAGCCACACCAGUGGGCCACAAGCCCUGUAGCCGCGGCCUCCCCUGGCCGCGGCUACCAAGCUUGUGGGGCCCACAGGGACCCCCUCCACUCAUUCUAGCUCCCAUCCUCUUCUUCUACCUCCAGAAAAAAUCGUUUUACAGCUCCAACCCGUGCUCUUGCUCAUUUGGCUGUGAUUUUCGAUCUCCUUGCUCAAAGCACCAUUCUACGAACCGUUUUGGGGAAAUUACUCCUUGGUAAGUGACUCCUCCAUUGGUCCAAUUAGUUACUCUAGUGCUUUAUCCUUCGCGUAUUCUUUCUACCUUGGUGACCCUGUUCUUGAACUUGAAAUGUUGAUUUUAGUUCGUCCCAAGUAGUUUUAACGCGUGAUACGGUCUCUAGGCACUAGUAGGAGUAGUUGCUACAAGGUUUGGUUGGUCUUUAUUCACUUUUCUCUUGAACUUCAAAAAUUUCAGCAAAAAUAAAUUAUGUUUAGGAGGAAGUUUCAUGGUGGUUCCUCAAGUAAGAAGGGUCCCCGUCUUUCUAUUAAGGAGCCCGAUCCUUAUGAACUAAGGGACGCACCGGUACAACCAUGUGAAUGGCCUUCCGAUGAGUUCAUGAUCGAAGCAGGCUUCAAGGAUGAGUUUGAUACACUUGUCCACAAUGCCGAGUUAGAAGAAUUCCUCUCAGAUAAAUGUGAACAGUAUGCUAUGCUCACUGCCUCUUUCAUGCGUAGAUUUAAAUUUUUAGUUGGCCGUGACUCAUCCAUACUGUUUGAUCUGUAUGAUAAAUCCUACACCAUGGAUUUGGAGGAUUUCAAUAGGAUUUGCAAGAUACCCGAUGGGGGUAGUCUUAAUGAUCCUGCUAAGUCUUCGGUUAGAUAUUUUUUUUCUCUAGUAUAACUGUUGGAGAAACUAGAGACAUCACGCAAGCUACCAUAGGAAGCAUUCAUUUCCCUGCCUUGCACUACUUUGCCCUCUUCAUAGGUAGAUGCAUUAACGGCAAGGUUGAACAUUGUCACCUAUGCGCAUCCGACCUUAGUAUCCUUAAGAGCGCAAUAACAGGUGACAGGAGCUUCAACAUGGGAGCUAUAAUAGCAAGGAGGCUGAAUAAUAAUGCCAUUGAUAUUAGUUUACCGUGAGACCUAUGUGUCACUUGCUUAUGUGGUUAACUUGUGAUCUUGCUGAAAUUCUGGUUAUGAGUUAGACAUAGUUGCAACAUCAAGAUCAAACAGAGUUUGUCAAAGUUUUUCGUUCUCUUUUAGUUUGUCAACUGAGUUGCUUGAGGACAAGCAAGGUUUUAAGCGUGGGGGAGUUGAUACGUCUCCAUCGUAUCUACUUUUCCAAACUCUUUUGCAAUUGUUUUGGACUCUAAUUUGCAUGAUUUGAAUGGAACUAACCCGGACUGACGCUGUUUUCAGCAGAAUUGCCAUGGUGUUGUUUUUGUGCAGAAAUGAAAGUUCUCGGAACGUCUUGAAAAUUUACGGAGAAUAUUUCUGGAAAAUAUGAAAAAUACCUGCGCAAAGAUCCACCGGAGGGGACGGGCUAGUGGGCCACAAGCCCUGUAGCCGCGGCCUCCCCCCUGGUCGCGGCUACCAGGCUUGUGGGGCCCACGUGGCUCUGCCGCCCCCAAUUCCAGCACUAUUUAUUCCCUUUCGUCCCGGAAAAAAUCAGGAGAGAAGAGUUCAUCGCGUUUCACGAUCCAGAGGCGCCGCCACAUCCCGUUCUUGCCCUGGAGGGUAGAUCUGGAGUCCGUUUUGGGCUCCGGAUCAAGGAGAUCGUCGCCAUCGUGAUCAUCAACCUUCUUCCCUCUCCAAUUCCAUGAAGCUCUUCAUUGUUCGUGAGUAAUCUAUUCGUAGGCUCGCUGGGCGGUGAUGAGUAGGAUGAGAUCUAACAUGUAAUCGAGUUAGUUUUGACGGGGAUUGAUCCCUAGUAUCCACUAUGUUCUGAGAUUGAUGUUGCUACUACUUGGCUAUGCUUAAUGCUUGUCACUAGGGCCCGAGUGCCAUGAAUUCAGAUCUGAACCUAUUAUGUUGUCACCAACAUAUAUAUGUGUUUUAGAUCCGAUCUUGCAAGUUGUAGUUACCUACUAUGUGUUAUGAUCCGGCAACCCUGGAGUGACAAUAACCGGAACCACUCCCGGUGAUGACCAUAGUUUGAGGAGUUCAUGUGUUCACCAAGUGCUAAUGCGUUGGUCCGGUUCUUUAUUAGAAGGAGAACCUUAAUAUCCCGUAGUAUCCAUUUGGACCCCGCUGCCACGGGAGGGAUGGGCAAUAGAUGUCAUACAAGUUCCUUUCCCUAAGCACGUAUGACUACACACAGAAUGCAUGCCUACAUCACAUUGACGAACGGGAGCUAGCCACAUAUCUCUCCGUGUUAUAACUGUUGCAUGAUGAAUGUCAUCCAACAAAUCACCGAUCCAUUGCCUACGAGUUUGUCCCACUGCUAUUGUUACUUGCUGCUGCUGUUACUUGCUUUGCUCUGCUGCUGUUACUACUAUUGCUGCUACUGUUACUUGCUUUGUCAUGCUGCUGCUGCCACUACUGUUGCUACUACUGUUACUUGUUGUUGCUGUUACUUGCUACUGUUGCUACUUGCUACUGCUGUCACUACUGCUGUUCCUUGCCACUGUUGUUACUCGUUACACUGCUGCUACCUGCUAGAAUACUUUUCUUGCGUCAUUGAUACUUCAGUUAGGAAUAAUCUGCCGUCAACAGAUUCUUUCCUAGCACUGUUGCUAUCAUACUACCUUUGCUGCUUAUAUCCUGCUUGCAGAUACUAAUCUUUCAGGUGUGGUUGAGCCGACAACUCAACUGCUAAUACUUGAGAAUAUCCUUUCACUCCCAUUGUGUCGAACCAACAAAUUUGGGUUGAAUACUCUACCCUCGAAAACUGCCGCGAUCCCACACGCUGGUGGGCCAUUGCAAGACAAUUGCUAAUUGUUGAGCAUCUGGAAGUAGGUACUAGCCAUGGAAAAGUGAGAAUACAGUAAUCUAACACCAAUAUAAAUAGAAAUCAAGUUUGCUACAGUACCUCAAGAGGUGGUAGUUUGUUUUCUUGUGCUAAUAAUAUCACGAGUUUCUGUUUAAGUUUUGUGUUGUGAAGUUUUCAAGUUUUGAGUGAUGUUCUCAUGGCCAAAGGGAUAAAGAGUGGAAAGAGCUCAAUCUUGGGGAUGCCCAAGGCACCCCAAGACAAAUUCAAGGACACCAAAAAGCCUAAGCUUGGGGAUGCCCCGGGAAGGCAUCCCCUCUUUCGUAUUCAAUCCAUCGGUAACAUUACUUCGAGCUAUAUUUUUAUUCACCACAUGGUAUGUGUUUUGCUUGGAGCGUCUUGUAUCGUAGGAGUCUUUUAUUUUUGUUGUGUCACAAUCAUCCUUGCUGCACACCUUUGGAGAGAGACAUGCACUCAUCCUGAUUUUGCUAGAAUACUCUUUGAGCUUCACUUAUAUCUUUUGAGUUAGGCAAUUUAGCUCACAUGCGCUUCACUUCGAUCUUUUAGAGCACGACAGUGUUAUAUUUUGGAGAAAUAAGGACUCUCGAUCUUCACUUAUAUCUUUUUGAGAGUGAUCUCUCUGAGUAACUUGGUAGUUGGCUUGUGCUAUGAAAGUAGUCCCAAAGGUGAUAGGAAUCCAAAGAGCAUACGAUGAAACUUCCAUCUUCUUGUUCAUUGAUUAGAAAGAGAAGUUUGAUUCCUCUCAAUUAGUUUUGAGAUAUGGAUUUGGUGAUACUAAGAGUUAUGUUAGUAGGGUGUUGUGAAUCUAGAAAUACUUGUGUUGAAGUUAGUGAUUAACGUAACAUGCACGUAUGGUGAACCGCUAUGUUAGGAAGUCAGAGCAUAAUUGAUCUAUUGAUUGUCAUCCUUUGUGUUGCGGUCGGGAUCGCGCGAUGGUUAACACCUACGAACCCUUCCCCUAGGAGUAUGCGUUUAGCACUUUGUUUUGAUUACUAAUAAAAACUUUCGCAAUAAGUAUGGGAGUUCUUCAUGACUAACGUGAGUCCAUGGUAUAGAUGCACUUUCACCUUCCACCAUUGCUAGCCUCUUUAGUGCCGCGCAACUUUCAUCGGUGCACAAACCCACCAUAUGCCUUCCUCAAAACAGCCACCAUAAGUACCUACUAUGGCAUCUUCAUAGCCAUUCCCAGAUAUAUUGCCAUGCAACUCCCACCGUUCCAUCUCAUGACUUGUGCCGUCACUUUCAUAUUGCCAUUGCAUGAUCGUAAGAUAGCUAGUGAGUCAUAUGCCAAGCUAGAUCGUUGCACAUCCCGGUACAUUGCCGGAGGCAUUUCCUAUAAGAGUCAUCAUUGUUCUAAGCAUUGAGCUUUUAGUAAAUUAAAGUGUGAUGAUCAUCAUUAUUAGAGCAGUGUCCCAUGUGAGUAAAUAAAAAAAAGGCCAAAGUGGCCCACAAAAAAAUAUAUAUGGAAAGAGGCCAAAGAGCCCCCAAAAAAGGAAGAGAGAAAAAGAGAGAAUGGACAAUGCUACUAUCUUUUUCCACACUUGUGCUUCAUAAUAGCACCAUGUUCUUCAUGAUUGAGAGUCUCUUGAUUUGUCACCACCAUAUGCUAGUGGGAAUUUUCGUUAUAUAACUUGGCUUAUAUAUUCCAAUGAUGGGAUUCCUCAAAAUUGCCCUAGGUCUUGACGAGCAAGCAAGUUGAAUGCACACCCACUAGUUCUUCUUUUGAGCUUUCACAUACUUAUAGCUCUAAGUGCAUCCAUUGCAUGGUAAUCCCUACUCUUUCACAUUGAUAUCUAUUAAUGGGCAUCUCCAUAGCCCUUUGAUACGCCGAGUCGAUGUGACCAUCUCCUCCUUUUUGUCUCACAACCUCCACCACACUCUAUUCCACCAUAGUGCUAUAUCCAUGGCUCAUGCUCAUGUAUUGCAUGAGAGUUGAAAAAGGUUUGAGAACGUAAGAGUGCGAAAACAAUUACUUCGCCAAUACCGGGGUUGUGCAUGAUUUAAAUUAGUUGUGUGGGGAUGAUGGAGCAUAGCCAGACUAUAUGAUUUUGUAGGGAUAACUUUCUUUGGCCUUGUUAUUUCGAAUGUUUAUGAUUACCUUGCUAGUUUUCUUGAAGUAUUAUUGUUUUCAUGUCAAUAGCAAGCUAUUAUUUGAAUCUUACGGAUCUGAACAUUCAUGUCACAUGAAAUAAGUUACAAAGGACAAAGAUGCUAGGUAGCAUUCCACAUCAAAAAUUCAGUCUUUAUCACUUCCCUACUCGAGGACGAGCUGGAGUUAAGCUUGGGGAUGCUUGAUACGUCUCCAACGUAUCUAUAAUUUUUGAUGGUUACAUGCUAUUAUCUUGUCAAACUUUGGAUGUUUUGUAUGCCUUUUAUAUCUUUUUUGGGACUAACUUAUUAACUCAGUGCCAAGUGCCAGUUCCUAUUUUUUUCGUGUUUUUGACCCUUUUCAGAGGAGAAUAUUAAACGGAAUCCAAAAGGAAUAAAACUUCCGAAAAGGUUUUUUCCGGAACAGAAAAUACGCAGGGGGCGUGAGAACCAAGGUAGAGGCCACCAGGGGAGGCCACAAGGCCCCUAGGCGCGGCCAGGGGGGCCUGACUCUGUGACAACAGACCUUCCCCUGCAACGGCACCAGAAGAAUGCUGCUAGCACUCCCCGGCAAUCGAAACUAGAAGAAUAUUGUUGACGGCCCACCAGCGCGUGGGAUCGAGGCAGUUUUCGAGGGUAGAGUAUUCGAACAAAAUUUGUUGAUACGCCAGUAGGAGGUGAGACGAUACUCUCAAGUAUUAGCAGUUGAAUGUGUCAGAUUCAACCAGACGUGAAAGAUUAGUAUCUGCAAGCAAAGUAUCAUCAGCAAAGUAGUAUGAUAACAACGGUGUCAGAAACGAUCUGUUGACGGCAGACUAUUCCUAACGAUUGUAUCAAUGGUGCCAGAAGUUGCCCGUUGACGGAAAUUGUCUGUUCCCGUCAACGCCGAGCGAACAAAAAUUGUAACAGGUAGCAGCAGUGAAACGAGUAACAGCAGUGGCAAGGAACAGCAGUAGUGACAGCAGUAGCAAGUAGCAACAGUAGCAAGUAGCAGCAGAGCAAGCGACAGUAGUAACAGCAGCAGUGGGACAAACUUGUAGGCAAUGGGUCCGUGAUUCGUUCGGAUGAUAUUCAUCAUGCAACAGUUAUAAGACGGAGAGAUAUGUGGCUAGCUCCCGUUCGUCAAUGUGAUGUAGGCAUGCAUUCCGUGUGUAGUCAUACGUGCUUAGGGAAAAGAACUUGCAUGACAUCUAUUGUCCAUCCCUCCCGUGGCAGCGGGGUCCAAAAGGAUACUACAGGAUGUUAAGGUUCUCCUUUUAAUAAAGAACCGGAACAACGCAUUAGCACUUGGUGAACACAUGAACUCCUCAAAGUAUGGUUAUCAUCAGGAGUGGUUCCGGUUANGCCGCAAGCUUCUGUCUCCGCAAGAUCCCAUCUGGGGCACAUUCUGGUGCCCUGUCGGAGGGGGGAUUCGGAUACGGAGGGCUUCUUCAUCAACACCAUUGACUCUCCGAUGAUGCGUGAGUAGUUCACCAUAAACCUUCGGGUCCAUAGCUAGUAGCUAGAUGGCUUCUUCUCUCUCUUGGAUCUUCAAUACAAAGUUCUCCAUGAUCUUCAUGGAGAUCUAUCCGAUGUAAUCUUCUUUUGCGGUGUGUUUUUCGAGAUCCGAUGAAUUGUGGAUUUAUGAUCAGAUUAUCUAUGAAUCUUAUUUGAGUUUCUUCUGAUCUCUUAUAUGCAUGAUUUCAUAUCCUUGUAAUUCUGUUCGAGUUGUGGGUUUUGUUUGGCGAACUUGAUCUAUGAUUGUUGCAAUGGGAUAAGUGCUUUGUUUUGGGUUCAUACCGUGCGGUGACCUCACCCAGUGACAAAAGGGGUAGCGAGGCACACAUCAUGUUGUUGGCAUCAAGGGUAAAAAGAUGGGGUUUAUACCUAUUGCAUGAACUUAUCCCUCUACAUCAUGUCAUCUUGCUUAAAGCGUUACUCUGUUUGUCAUGAACUCAAUACACUAGAUGCAUGCUGGAUAGCGGUCGAUGUGUGGAGUAAUAGUAGUAGAUGCAGAAAGAAUCGGUCUUCUUGUCUCGGACGUGAUGCCUAUAUGUAUGAUCAUUGCCUUAGAUAUAAUUUGCCCUUCCGACCCGCUGCAUGCCACCCUUGUCGAGCUGACUACUCCCAUCGCCCCAACGGCUAAUACAACGCUGACUAGGGCUGAGGUGGAAGAGGCUCGCAAACAACUACUAGUGGAGGGCACCGCCCUUGCCACCUCCAAGCGCUGGAUGAAGGCGGCACGGCGUGAGUACAACUCCGCUUAUGGCUUCACCCCAGCCGCUGACGGACCCAGCCGGCUCGGCGACCUCCGCUGUCGCGGUCGGGUUGUUGCCGAAAUCCUAGGCGGCCAGCUACCCAUCUAUGACACUCCUGCGGCAAACAUGCGGGCCGCCCAGGCGGCCCAUGAAGAGAUGGAUGCCCUGCAGGGCGAGGAGCGGGUGCGUUAAGAAAAGUGCGUCAAGGACCUCCUCACUGCCGCCAAGGAGCAACAGGAUCGCCUCGAUCCUGCCCGUGCUUUCUCCGUAUCUCCGGCCUUCGACAUCGAAGGUUAUGAUGUCCCCAACGACCGUCAGCAAGCUCAGCAUUCUUCCUCCCAUCGUAAAUCCGACCAGAAGGCCGAGGGAAGCCGUGAGUAGCAUUCCCAACGCCGGAGAGAGCAUCACGCAGUAUCUAGCCGGCUCGGCGAGCCGGCUGGAACUAGAGGAGGCUCAGUUCAUGAAGUUCCCCCGCCUGAGCGGUGGGAGAAGGCCAGCACACCCGUGCCCGCAAUCCGGCCUGAGCUCGCGGCUUGGAUCGGCCCUCGCGUCCUUCGCAGCAAGAGCGAUGCUCGCACACGCAUCGACCUUCUGGCGCAGUCGGCCCUCCUGGAGGAGGAGGGUCCCAUUGGUCCGACGUGCUUCGGUCCUCGGAUCCGAGGGGAGGCGUUCCCGUCCGGCUUCACCGUCCCCCGCGAUACUACGAAAUACAACGGCUCUGGCAAGCCGAAAGACUGGCUGAUCGACUACAUCACUGCAGUCGGCAUUUCUCGGGGCAACAAGCGUGUUGCCGUCUGCUACGUGACACUCAUGCUGACCGGCUCGACAAGAACUUGGCUUAACAGUCUGCCAGCUGGCAACAUCAACUCUUGGGUUGACUUUGAAGAUGCUUUCGUCCGCAACUUCACUCGCACCUACAAGCGCCCUGGCCACGCCCGUGAGCUGGCCAUGUGCGUUCAGAAGCCCGACAAACCCCUCUGUGACUACAUCAUGCACUCGACGGAGUUGCACAACUCCUGCGAAGGAGUGCAUGAAGUACAAGCCAUUCAAUACUUCACUAAAGACUGUCGAGACGACACCCUUCUCAAGCACAAACUCAUGUGCUGCGAACCUACCUCUUUGGCAGCACUCAUGGACAAGGCGGAUAAAUACACUACUGCCAACUCUGCCAUGAGGAUCAAGGUCAGCGCGACGGACAAACCCGACCAACCGCCGGCUACAACUAAGCCGGUGGCGACAACUGAGGCGGGCAAAACAACAAGCGCAAGGCGGAUCAGCAAGACCCGUGAGCUUGAAGCAAGCAGGUGGCAAACAUGGAGGAAGAGCAGCCGGCUGCGCAAGACGACGCUCAGCAACAACGAACCGGCAAGAACACCUGACAGCCCAAGCUCACAUUCGAGUAGAUGCUCGACGCGCCUUGCAAGAUGCAUUCCGGGGCAAAGCCAGCCACCCACACACUCCGGUAGUGCAGCUUCUCACAGCGCCUGGCCCGCUGGCGGCUCCCCCGGGGGUGGCUCCUCGAGGUCCGACUCCCGGGCCGGGUCCGGCUCCAGCUCAACCGCCCCCAAUGACGGCCGUCUUCAUGACCAAUUCCCCAAGAAGGACGGGCCUACAUCGUCUUUACCAGCGAGGGCGAUGACAAGCAUAGUGAGCGUCAGCGCCGACAUGAGGUGAAUGCAACGGUCCUCUCGGUUCCCCAAUACACGCAUUGGUCUAAAAAGCAAAUUACAUGGAGCCAGGCGGACCAUCCCGCGGUGAUGCCGAAUCCUGGCACAUACGCGCUCGUCCUCGUCCCCACCAUCGCCUCCAAGAGACUCACAUGUACGUUCUCGCAGGUGCUCGUCGACGGCGGUAGCAUCAUGAACAUCCUCUACCGUGACACCAUGCUCGAGCUCGGGCUGAAGGAGAAGGACCUACAACCGACCAGGACUGUCUUCCACGACAUUGUGUCGGGGCAGUCUUGCUCGCCUAUCGGCAAAAUCCAGGUGGACUUCCUCUUUCGCGACAAGUCGCACUUCCACCGCGAGCCGGUCUGGUUCAAGGAGGUGGACCUCAACAACCCGUACCAUGCGCUGCUAGGAAGGCCGGCGCUGGCCAAGUUCAUGGCUAUCCCCCAUUACACCUACCUCAAGAUGAAGAUGUCGGGUCCCAAGGGCAUUAUCACUGUUGCCGGCAACUCCAAGAAGUCAAUCGAGUGUGGGUGCAACAGCAGCCGGCUGGCCGAGGCACUGGUGAUUGCACAGGAGAAGAGGCAGCUCAACCGGCUCAUGGCUGAGGCUACCGAGCAGCCGCCCGUGCCAACUCCUCCGUCCCAAUCAGACGGCGAGGCCUCAUUCGAGCCGUCCAAGGGAACCGGGCAAGUGCCACUCGACCCAGCCAACCCCAAGUAGUGCGUGACCAUCGGCGCCAACCUUAGCCCCAAAUAGGAAGGUGAGCUCGUCGACUUCCUCAGUGAGAAUCGAGAUAUCUUUGCAUGGUCCCCCAAGGACAUGUCGGGAGUUCCAAGGAACUACGCCGAGCACAAGCUUCAUGUGCAACCUAAUGCAAAGCCGGUCAAACAACCUUUGUGCCGCUUUGCUGAGGGGAAGCGACACACAAUCGGAGAAGAGAUCGCUUGGCUACUUGCAACCGGCUUCAUCAUGGAAGUUUCCCACCCGGACUGACUGGCCAACCCAGUCCUGGUGCAGAAGAAAAACAAAACAUGGUGCAUGUGUAUCGACUACACAAGCCUGAAUAUGGCAUGUCUGAAGGAUCCCGUCGCCCUGCCACGGAUAGAUCAAGUGACUGACUCCACGGUCGGCUACGAUUUGUUGUCCUUUGUGGACGCUUAUUCCGGCUACCACCAGAUCAAGCUGGACCCGGCCGACCGGCUCAAGACCUCCUUCAUCACACCUUCUGGAGCCUACUGCUACACGAUGAUGACAUUUGGCCUAAAGACUAUAGGCGCCACCUUCCAGCGUUGCAUGCAAUAAUGCCUCCUGCCGCAAAUCGGCAGGAACAUACACGUCUGCAUCGACGAAAUCGUCGUCAAGACCAAGAAGUAUUUCAGUCUCCUUGACGAUUUGUCGGAGACCUUUGCCAACUUGCACGAGUACAAGAUCCAUGUCAAUCCAGAGAAGUGCGUAUUCGGAGUACCAACCGACAAGCUCCUGGGUUUCUUCGUGUCGGCUCGCGGCAUCGAAGCUAACCCCGAGAAGACCAGAACAAUCGAGUGCAUGGCCAAGCCGGCUCAACUCCUCGACGUCUAGAAGUUUGCCGGCUGCCUAGCAUCCCUCAGCCGGUUUGUUAGACGGCUGGGUGAGAAGGCACUACCACUCUAUCAGCUGAUGAAGAAGACAACCAAAUUCGAGUGGAAUGAUCAAGCGGACGAAGCAUUCCGCGACCUCAAGUGCGUGAUCUCCAGCACGCAAAUCUUGGCCACGCCGGCGGAGAGGGAACCCAUCCUCAUCUAAAAUGCGACAACCAUGCGCGUGGUCAGUGUCGUCUUGGUGGUGGAGCGAAAGGAGGAGGGCAAUGUGCUGCUGGUCAGCGCCCUGUCUACCAUCUAAGCGAAGUCUUGUCCGCCUCCAAGCAAAACUACCCCAUUUUCAAAAGAUGUGCUAUGGCGUGUAUUUUGCCACCAAGAAGCUGAAGCAAUACUUCCAGGAGCAUGCCAUCACGGUGGUGAGCACAACUCCACUUUCAGAAAUCAUGGGCAACUGUGAUGCUAUGGGCCAGAUUGCCAAGUGGUCCAUCUCCAUGGCCGACCAUGACAUCCGCUAUGAGCUGUGCACCGCCAUCAAGUCUCAAGUGGUGGCCGACUUCCUCGUCGAUUGGGCCGAGACCCAGUUCCUACCACCGCCUCCUGACUCCACACAUUGGCGGAUACAUUUCGACGACUCCAAGAUGCGAACCGGCCUGGGAGCCGGCAUUGUCCUGACGUCCCCGAAAGGGGCCAACUCAAAUAUGCUCUGUAGAUACACUUCGCCUCCUCCAACAACGUCACCGAGUACGAGGCACUUGCACACGCCCUCUGACUUGCUAGAGAGAUCGUCAUCCAGCGGAUUCUUUGCUUCAGCGACUCUGACCUCGUGGUGCAGCAAGUCUUUCGCGAGUGGGAUGCCAGGGACGCCAACAUGGCCAGCUACCGCUUCCCCAUCCAGCAGCUUAGUGGCCCUUUCGAGGGCUGCGAGUUCCAUCAUGUCCCCCGAGCAGACAAUGAGGCAGCAGAUACAUUGGCACAAAUGGGCUCCACAAGGCAAGCAAUCCCGACCGGCGUCUCCCUCGAACAGCUGCACAAGCCUUCCAUCAAGCCGUCUCGAGCGUCGUCAUCGAUCUUCGUGCCUGCAGACCCGUCCGUCCCAAUGACUUUAGGUACGAAGACGCUUCAUCAACUCCGCCGGCUCGGCCCGUUCUGCCAGCUCCGUCAGCUUUGCUGGCUCCGGUUACCUUGCCGACACCAACUACUCUGCCGGCUAUGCCAAACCUCGAACCCAGUCGGCUCAACACCCAGUGGGUGGCCGUCAUGGAGGUUGAUGGCAUGCCGGCUUCCACGACGACACCAGAGACAGAAGGUCUCGAACCCAGGACCACAAUGACAAACUCGGGGGCCUCAGCGGCCCCUGGCCUUCAGGCCGAGCCAGAAUCGGCUCGUGUGUCAGCUCCCACAUGGGCACACCCCAUCCUGUCUUUCCUCCUUUGCGGUGAGCUCCCUUAAGACAAGGUGGAAGCACGGCAAAUCCAGUGCCGAUCUCUCACUUACGCCAUCAUCAACCGUGAACUGGUUCGACACAGUGUAACAGGCGUACUUCAACGCUGCGUCGAAUCAGAGAAAUGAAAAUAAAUUCUCAAGGACAUACAUCAGGGUGAGUGCGGGCAUCACGCCGCCUCCAGAACCCUGGUGGCCAAGGCGUUCCGCCAUGGAUUCUAUUGGCUCACGACCCUGGAAGAGGCCACCACUCUGGUCGACAAGUGUGAAGGAUGCCAGUGCUUCAACACGCAAAGCCACUUGCCGGCCUCAGCUCUAAAGACCAUUCCCCUCUCAUGUCCCUUUGUCGUCUGGCGUUGGACAUGGUAGGCCCAUUCAAGACCGCUCGAGGCCGCAUGCCGCAUCUCCUGGUAGCCGUUGACAAGUUCACCAAGUGGAUUGAGGCCAGGCCAAUAAAGAAGCUUGACGGUCCCACGACCGUCAGGUUCAUCAAGGACAUCACCGUCCGCUAAGGUGUCCCCCACAGCAUCAUCACCGAUAAUGGCACCAACCUCGCCAAAGGUGCAAUGGCGCUCUUCUAUGCCAAGGAGGGCAUUCGGUUCGACCUUUCGUCGGUUGCCCACCCGCAGUCUAACGGCCAUGGGAAGGGCAAACAACCUGAUCUUGGCCGGCAUCAAGCCAAGACUCGUGGCACCGAUCGUCAGGUCAGCCGUCUGCUGGAUCAAAGAGUUGACGGCUGUGCUGUGGAGCCUCCACACCACACCGAACCGGUCAACUGAUUUCACGCCAUUCUUCCUCGUCUACGGGUCCGAGGCAAUCAUCCCCGCGGAUGUCGAGUUCGACUUGCCUCGCGUCACCCUGUACACGGAGGCAGAUGCAAAAGAGGAAAGAGAAGACGGUGUCAAUCUACUCGAGGAGGCACGGGAGCUGGCCCUGAGCUGGACGGCCAUCUACCAGCAGAAGAUGAGACACUACCACAUCAAAAAGAUCAGGCCUCUCUCUUCCCAUGAGGCGGACCUAGUACUUAGAAGAAUCUAGCAAACAGCCGGCCAACACAAGCUCUCUUCCCCAUGGGAGGGACCCUUGAUCAUCAGCAAGGUGCUGCACAACAAUGCGUACUAUCUAAUAGAUGCUCAGAAGCCGCAGAAGCGCAAAAGAGACGCCUCCGGCGAGGAAACGGAGCAUCCAUAGAACGCGGCACUGCUUCGCCCGUUCUAUUGCUAGAACAAGAGAGAAAAUGUGUACGUAUGUAUCCUUUACCCUUUUGGGGUCUCAACGAAUGCAAUGGGUGUCUCAAGAUAGCACUUGGGGCAUACCUAUUUGAUUUCAUAAAAAGAGUUGUCAUUAGAAGAGUGGGCUUCCCGAUCUGACUCCUCGGGCUCGGGGGCUCGCUAGCCGGCCCAAGCCAACUUCCUAGUCGUAGUUGAACAUAUAGUGCAUGUCGAGCCGAAACCCUUACCACCUUGUGCAAGCUAGAGACCGGCUCCGGACUGUCCGGCUAACAUGAUUGUGGAAUGGAAGGCUGGUUGCACGUAAAAUUUGACUACAAAGAGGUUGUCGGCUCAGGUUGGUCUGAUCGCUUCCGAUCUUCAUUUCUAGCUAGCCUGUGCUAACUCGCUCCAAGUCUAAGUAUCUCCGCGACUUCAAGAAAUUCGAGGAUGGCGCCUUCGUAGGCAGAAGCCCCAUCCUAGUCACAAACCGGCUCCCUGCUGUCGGAUUGGCGGGGUGGAUGCUGGAGGAGGCAAGCUGUUGGAUAGACGGAAGCCAAAGGGGAACGUAAGAUAAAAAAGCGAGUCGGCAAGCACAACCUUCGCAGGCACAAUUCAAGCAAACAAGCAUAUAUUAUAUCAAAAGACAUGUAAAGGCCGACGACCAAAGUUCAUUACAUUACACCCCAAGUGCGUGGAACUGUUGGAUUAACAAAAAAUGCAGAAAAGUAGAAAAAACUUUAUUUGGUGGUGGCUCCACCCUUGGCUCCGACAUCGCCGGCAGCACCGGAGGUCGAGGAGGCUCCACCCAUGGCUCCGACAUUGUUAGCAGCACCUGAGGUCGACGCGGCUCCACCCUUGGCAUUGGCAUCACCAGCGGCACCUGACGUGGAGGCGCCGUCGUCUGCUCGGGUGCCUUUGGCACUGCCCUUUGUGGCGGAGUCAACAUAGGCCUCGCCGCUCAAGUCGGCAUCCUCGAAUGCCGUCUCAUCGGAGCUGCCAUCAGGGUCGGCAAGCUAGCCCAUAAUGACCCUCCGGGAUCAGGCUUCUGUCAGCACUCCGCUCCAGGGAAUACUCAUUCCAUGGGCAAAGGAGGCAAUGCCGCUCGGCCGCACCUGCAGCUCGUCUUCGACGGCGGCUGACACGUGUCCAACGUAUCUAUAAUUUUUGAUGGUUACAUGCUAUUAUCUUGUCAAACUUUGGAUGUUUUGCAUGCCUUUUAUAACUUUUGGGACUAACUUAUUAAUUCAGUGCCAAGUGCCAGUUCCUGUUUUUUCCGUGUUUUUGACCCUUUUCAGAGAAGGAUUUUAAACGGUGUCCAAACGGAAUAAAAUUUUCGAAAAGAUUUUUUCCGGAACAGAAGAUACGCACGGGAUGUGAGAACCAAGGCAGAAGCCACCACGGGAUGCCACAAGCCCCCUAGGCGCGGCCGGGGGGGCCUAGCAGGCUUGUGGGCCCCCUGUGACUCGUCUGCACUACCUCUUCUGCCUAUAAAUUCCUGAAAAAUCCAAAACUGCGGGAGAGAUCCACGAAAAUACUUUUCCGCUGCCGCAAGCUUCUGUCUCCGCAAGAUCCCAUCUGGGGCACGUUCUGGUGCCCUGCCGGAGGGGGGAUUGGAUACGGAGGGCUUCUUCAUCAACACCAUGACCUCUCCGAUGAUGCAUGGGUAGUUUACCAUAGACCUUCGGGUCCAUAGCUAGUAGCUAGAUGCCUUCUUCUCUCUCUUGGAUCUUCAAUACAAAGUUCUCCAUGAUCUUCAUGGAUAUCUAUCCGAUGUAAUCUUCUUUUGCGGUGUAUUUGUCGAGAUCCGAUGAAUUGUGGAUUUAUGAUCAGAUUAUCUAUGAAUCUUAUUUAAAUUUCUUCUGAUCUUUUAUAUGCAUGAUUUCAUAUCCUUGUAAUUCUCUUCGAGUUGUGGGUUUUCUUUGGCCAACUUGAUCUAUGAUUCUUGCAAUGGGAGAAGUGCUUGGUUUUGGGUUCAUACCGUGCGGUGACCUCACCCAGUGACAGAAGGGGUAGUGAGGCACGCAUCAUGUUGUUGCCAUCAAGGGUAAAAAGAUGGGGUUUACAUCAUUGGUUUGAGUUUAUCCCUCUACAUCAUGUCAUCUUGCUUAAGGCGUUACUCUGUUCGUCAUGAACUCAAUACACUAGAUGCAUGCUUGAUAGCAGGGGAUGUGUGGAGUAAUAGUAGUAGAUGCAGACAGUAUCGGUCUACUUGUCUUGGACGUGAUGCCUAUAUGUAUAAUCAUUGCCUUAGAUAUCGUCAUGACUUUGCGCGGUUCUAUCAAUUGCUCGACAGUAAUUUGUUCACCCACCGUAAUAUUUGCUACUUUGGGAGAAGCCUCUAGUGAACACUAUGGCCCCCGGGUCUACUUCACAUCAUAUUUUCAGCCUUUAACUUUUACUUCGUUGUACUUUCCACCUUCAGAUCUCACUUUGCAAUCAAUCUUGAAGGGAUUGACAACCCCUUUAUAGCGUUGGGUGCAAGCUCGUUUGUAUUUGCGCAGGUACUCUGUACACUUGGAUUGAUUCUCCUACUGGAUUGAUACCUUGGUUCUCAAACUGAGGGAAAUACUUACUUCUCCUGUGCUGCAUCACCCUUUCCUCUUCAAGGGAAAACCAACGCAAGCUCAAGAGGCAACAGAAGGAUUUCUGGCGCCGUUGCCGGGGACUUCUGGCCCCGUAGCAGAAGGAUUUCUCGCGCCGUUGCCGGGGAGGAUCAAGUUCUAGGUGAAGCUUAUCCAAGUAAGUGUCGAAAACUCAUCUCUUGCAUUUACUUUUUUGCCUUUCGUUUUCCUCUCCCCCAGUUUUGAAAAACAAAAAAUUACAAAAAUAUUUGCCUUCUUCGUUUGCCUUUUUCGUUCGCCCUUUUAUCUCGCUUGCUUUCUGUUCGCUUGUGUGCUUGUUUGCUUGUCGAAGUCACCAUGACUAAAAACACCAAACUCUAUGACUUCUCGAAUACUAAUAAUAAUGAUUUUAUUAGUACUCCGAUUGCUCCCGCCACUAGUGCGGAAUCAUACGAAAUCAAUGUUGCCUUGCUGAAUCUUGUUAUGAAAGAGCAAUUCUCCGACCUUCCUAGUGAAGAUGCCGCAUCCCAUCUUAAUAUCUUCAUUGAGCUUUGCGAUAUGCAGAAUAAGAAAGAUGUGGAUAAUGAUGUGAUUAAAUUGAAGCUUUUUCCUUUCUCGUUGCGAGAUCGAGCAAAAACUUGGUUUUCAUCUUUGCCCAAAAAUAGUAUUGAUUCUUGGAACAAGUGCAAAGAUGAUUAUAUAUCCAAGUAUUUUCCGUCGGCUAAGAUUAUCUCUCUCCGUAAUGAUAUCUUGAAUUUUAAGCAACUUGAUCAUGAACAUGUUCCACAAUCUUGGGAGAGAAUGAAAUUGAUGAUUAGAAAAUGUCCCGCUCAUGGCUUGAGUCUUUGGAUGAUUAUACAAAUCUUCUACGCUGGUUUGAAUUUCGCUUCUAGAAAUAUCUUGGACUCCGCCUCAGGUGGAACAUUCAAGGAAAUCACAUUAGGAGAAGCCACGAAACUCCUAGACAAUAUCAUGAUAAACUACUCUCAGUGGCACACUGAAAGGUCACCUACUAGUAAAAAAGUACACGCUAUAGAAGAAAUUAACUCGUUGAGUGCUAAGAUGGAUGAUUUAAUGAAUUUUGUUGCUAGUAGAAGUGCUCCUUUAGAUCCUAAUGAUAUGCCCUUGUAUUCCUUGAUUGAGAGUAGCAAUGCGAGCUUGGACGUUAAUUUUGUUGGUAGGAAUAAUUUUGGCAACAACAAUGCUUUUAGAGGAAACUAUGUUCCUACGCCUUUUCCUAGGAACCCCUCUAAUAACUUUGGCAACUCCUACAACAAUACUCAUGGAAAUUACGAUAAAUUACCCUCUGAUCUAGAUAGUAAUAUCAAAAAGUUUAUCAACUCGCAAAAGAUUUUCAAUGCGUCCAUAGAGGAAAAACUACUCAAAAUUGACGAUUUGGCUAGGAGCGUUGAUAGAAUGUCUAGUGAUACUGAUGCUUUGAAAGUUAGAUGUGCUCCUCCCAAGAUCAACAUGGAUGAAACUUUGAAACCCAUGCGUGUUUCCAUGAGUGAGAGCAAAGAAAGAACCGCCCAAAUUCGUGCUAGACAUGAAUGGCUUAAAAAGGCGUGUUCUCGUGAUAAGAAUCACGAAGAUCUUAAAGUGCUUGGUGUGACUCCCAUUGAAUCUUUGUUCUCUCGUGUCAAACCUAAUGAUGAUGGGGCUGGAUAUGAAUCUACUUUGGUUGAAAAACGCCUCAAUGAUUCGGAGUCCAUCUAUCUUGAUGCUAAAAGCAUUGAAAGUGGAGUAGAAGAAAUCAAAACUUUGAGUAGUAAUGAAAGUACUACUUUGGAUUUCAAGGAAUUCAAUUAUGAUAGUUUCUCCUUGAUUGAAUGCAUUUCCUUGAUGCAAUCCAUGCUAAACUCUCCACACGCUUAUAGCCAAAACAAGGCCUUUACCGAUCAUAUCGUUGAAGCUAUGAUAAAAUCUCUUGAAGAGAAACUUGAGUUGGAAGUUUCUAUUCCUAGAAAGCUUCAUGAUGAGUGGGAACCUACUAUCAAAAUCAAAAUCAAAAACUAUGAAUGCAAUGCUUUGUGUGAUUUGGGUGCUAGUGUUUCCGCGAUUCCAAAGUCUUUAUGUUAUGUUCUAGGCUUUAAUGAGAUUGAGGAGUGUUCUCUUAAUUUGCAUCUUACGGAUUCUACUGUCAAGAAACCCAUGGGAAGGAUCAAUGAUGUUCUUAUUAUUGCAAAUAGGAACUAUGUACCCAUGCAUUUCAUUGUGCUUGAUAUUGAUUGCAAUCCUACAUGUCCUAUCAUUCUUGGUAGACCUUUCCUAAGGACUAUUGGUGCUAUCAUCGAUAUGAAGGAAGGGAAUAUUUGAUUUCAAUUUCCUUUAAAUAAGGGCAUGGAGCAUUUUCCUAGAAAGAAAAUAAGAUUGCCUUAUUAAUCAAUGAUGAGGGCUACUUAUGGUUUGAGCACCAAAGACGACGAUACGUGAUUCUAUCGCCUUAUGCCUAGCUAAGGGCGUUAAAAAAUAGCGCUUGUUGGGAGGCAACCAAAUGAAUUUAUUUUUUUCUUUCUGUUUUAUUGCGUCCACACUAUCAUAAUUCUGUUAUGAUAGUUUUUUGUGUUUCUUUUUGUGUUUGAGCCAAGCAAAACCUUUAUGAUUGGUUUGGUGAUGGUUGUUUGAUCCUGCUGGAAAAAGACAGAAACUUUUCGCUCACGAAAUUAUUUUUCGUUUUUAUUCCGAAAGAGAUUUUGAUUUGAUUCCUUUUGCUGCUGGUUUAUAUGCCUUUUUCCCAGGCUGUCGUAAUGUUUCAUAAUUUUUGAGGCACCAGAAGUAUACGAAGUAUAAAGAUUUCUACAGACUGGUCUGUUUUUGACAGAUUUUGUUUUUGUUGUGUUGGUUGCUUGUUUUGAUGAAACUAUGGAUAGUAUCGGGGGUACUAGCCAUGGAAAAGUGAGAAUACAGUAAUCUAACACCAAUAUAAAUAGAAAUCAAGAUUGCUACAGUACCUAAAGUGGUGGUAGUUUGUUUUCUUGUGCUAAUGAUAUCACGAGUUUCUGUUUAAGUUUUGUGUUGUGAAGUUCUCAAGUUUUGGGUGAUGUUCUCAUGGACAAAGGGAUAAAGAGUGGAAAGAGAUCAAGCUUGGGGAUGCCCAAGGCAUCCCAAUCUAAAUUCAAGGACACCAAAAAUCCUAAGCUUGGGUAUGCCCCGGGAAGACAUCCCCUCUUUCGUCUUCAAUCCAUCGGUAACAUUACUUGGAGCUAUAUUUUUAUUCAGCACAUGAUAUGUGUUUUGUUUGGAGCGUCUUGUAUCGUAGGAGUCUUUUCUUUUUGUUGUGUCACAAUCAUCCUUGCUGCACACCUUUUGAGAGAGACAUGCACUCAUCGUGAAUUUGCUAGAAUACUCAUUGUGCUUCACUUAUAUCUUUUGAGCUAGACAAUGUUGCUGUGUGCUUCACUUAGAUCUUUUAGAGCACCGCUGUGCGUAACUUGGUAGUUGGCUUGUGCUAUGAAUGUAGUCCCAAAGGUGAUAGGUAGCCAAAGAGGAGACAAUAACACUUCCAUCUUCAUGUGUGUUGAGUAGAAAGAGAAGUUUGAUUCCUCUCAAUUAGUUUUGAGACGUGGAUUUGGUAAUAUUAAGAGUUAUGUUAGUAGGGUGUUGUGAAUCUAGAAAUACUUGUGUUAAAGUUAGUGAUUCCCGUAACAUGCACAUAUGGUGAACCACUAUGUUAGGAAGUCGGAGCAUAAUUGAUCUAUUGAUUUCCAUUCUUUGUGUUGCCGUCGGGAUCGCGCGAUGGUUAACACCUACUAACCCUUCCUCUAGGAGUAUGCGUUUAGCACUUUGUUUCGAUUACUAAUAAAAACUUUUGCAACAAGUAUGUGAGUUCUUCAUGACUAAUGUGAGUCCAUGGUAUAGAUGCACUUUCACCUUCCACCAUUGCUAGCCUCUCUAGUACCGCGCAGUUUUCGCUGGUGCACAAACCCACCAUAUGCCUUCCUCAAAACAGCCACCAUACCUACCUACUAUGGCAUUUUCAUUGCCAUUCCGAGAUAUAUUGCCAUGCAACUCCCACCGUUCCGUCUCAUGACUUGUGCCGUCACUCUCAUAUUGCCAUUGCAUGAUCAUAAGACAGCUAGCGAGAUGUUUCAACGUCAUACGCCAAGCUAGAUCGUUGAACAUCCCGGUACACUGCCGGAGGCAUUUCCUAUAGAGUCAUCAUCGUUCUAAGCUUUGAGCUGUGAGUAAAUAAAAGUGUGAUGAUCAUCAUUAUUAGAGCAUUGUCCCAUGUGAGGAAAUAAAAAAAUAGAGGCCAAAGUUGCCCACAAAAAAAGAGAUAUGGAAAGAGGCCGAAGAACCCAAACAAAAAAAAGAAAAAGAAAAAAAGAGAGAAAAUUAGAGAAGGGACAAUGCUACUAUCUUUUUCCACACUUGUGCUUCAUAAUAGCACCAUGUUCUUCAUGAUUGAGAGCCUCCUCGUUUUGUCACCACCAUAUACUAGUGGGAAUCUUUAUUAUAUAACUUGGCUUGUAUAUUCCAAUGAUGGGCUUCCUCAAAAUUGCCCUAGGUCUUCGUGAGCAAGCAAGUUGGAUGCACACCCACUAGUUCUCCUUUUGAGCUUUAACAUACUUAUAGCUCUAAGUGCAUCCAUUGCAUGGUAAUCCCUACUCUUUCACAUUGAUAUCUAUUAAUGGGCAUCUCCAUAGCCCUUUGAUACGCCGAGUCGAUGUGACCAUCUCCUCCUUUUUGUCUCACAACCUCCACCACACUCUAUUCCACCAUAGUGCUAUAUCCAUGGCUCAUGCUCAUGUAUUGCAUGAGAGUUGAAAAAGGUUUGAGAACGUAAGAGUGCGAAAACAAUUACUUCGCCAAUACCGGGGUUGUGCAUGAUUUAAAUUAGUUGUGUGGGGAUGAUGGAGCAUAGCCAGACUAUAUGAUUUUGUAGGGAUAACUUUCUUUGGCCUUGUUAUUUCGAAAGUUCAUGAUUACCUUGCUAGUUUACUUGAAGUAUUAUUGUUUUCAUGUCAAUAGCAAAUUAUUGUUUUUAAUCUUAUGUAUAGGAACAUUCAUGUCACAUGAAAGAAGUUACAAAGGACAACUAUGCUAGGUAGCAUUCCACAUCAAAAAUUAAGUCUCUAUCACUUCCCUACUCGAGGACGAGCGGGAGUUAAGCUUGGGAUGCUUGAUACGUCUGUAACGUAUCUAUACUUUUUGAUGGUUCCAUGCUAUUAUCUUGUCAAUCUUUGGAUGUUUUGUAUGCCUUUUAUAUCUUUUUUGGGACUAACUUAUUAACUCAGUGCCAAGUGCCAGUUUCUGUUUUUUUCGUGUUUUUGACCCUUUUCAGAGGAGAAUUUUAAACGGUGUCCAAACGGAAUAAAACUUCUGAUUUUUUUUCCGGAACAGAAGAUACGCACGGGACGUGAGAACCAAGGCAGAAGCCACCAGGGGACGCCACAAGCCCCCUAGGCGCGGCCAGGGGGGCCCGCGCCUAGCAGGCUUGUGGGCCCCGUGUGGCUCGUCCGCCCUACCUCUUCCGCCUAUAAAUUCCUGAAAAAUCCAAAACCGCGGGAGAGAUCCUUGAAAAUACUUUUCCGCCGCCACAAACUUCUGUCUCCGCAAGAUCCCAUCUAGGGAACGUUCUGGUGCCCUGCCGGAGGGGGGAUUCGGAUACGGAGGGCUUCUUAAUCAACACCAUGACCUCUCCGAUGAUGCAUGAGUAGUUUACCAUAGACCUUCGGGUCCAUAGCUAGUAGCUAGAUGGCUUAUUCUCUCUCUUGGAUCUUCAAUACAAAGUUCUCCAUGAUCUUCAUGGAGAUCUAUCCGAUGUAAUCUUAUUUUGUUGUGUGUUUGUCGAGAUCCGAUGAAUUGUGGAUUUAUGAUCAGUUUAUCUAUGAAUCUUAUUUGAGUUUCUUCUCAUCUCUUAUAUGCAUGAUUUCAUAUCCUUGUAAUUCUCUUCGAGUGAUGGGUUUUGUUUGGCCAACUUGAGCUAUGAUUCUUGCAAUGGGAUAAGUGCUUGGUUUUGGGUCCAUACCGUGCGGUGACCUCACCCAGUGACAGAAGGAGUAGCGAGGAACGCAUCGUGUUGUUGCCAUCAAGGGUAAUAAGAUGGGGUUUACAUCAUUGGUUUGAGUUUAUCCCUCUACAUCAUGUUAUCUUGCUUAAGGUGUUACUCUGUUUGUCAUGAACUCAAUACAAUAGAUGCAUGCUGGAUAGCGGUCGAUGUGUGGAGUAAUAGUAGUAGAUGCAGACAGUAUCGGUCUACUUGUCUCGGACGUGAUGCCUAUAUGUAUGAUCAUUGUCUUAGAUAUCGUCAUGACUUUGCGCGGUUCUAUCAAUUGCUCGACAGUAAUUUGUUCACCCACCGUAAUAUUUGCUACUUUGAGAGAAGCCUCUAGUGAACACUAUGGCCCCCGGGUCUACUUCACAUCAUAUUUUCAGCCUUUCACUUUUACUUCGUUGCACUUUCCGCCUUCAGUUCUCACUUUGCAAUCAAUCUUGAAGGGAUUGAUAACCCCUUUAUAGCGUUGGGUGCAAGCUCGUUUGUGUUUGCGCAGGUACUCUGGACACUUGGCUUGAUUAUCCUACUGGAUUGAUACCUUGGUUCUCAAACCGAGGGAAAUACUUACUGCUCGUGUGCUGUAUCACCCUUUCCUCUUCAAGGGGAAACCAAUGCAAGCUCAAGAUGCAGCAGAAGGAUUUCUGGCGCCGUUGCCGGGGACUUAUGGCGCCGUAGCAGCGGCCAACUCCAGUUCCAUGCUGGCGCGCUGCGCCGCGAGCAUGCCCAAGUUUAGGUUGCGAUACCAGGACUUGGCAAGGCGAAGCACCAUAUAUGCCCCAGCUUGUGCAGCUGACGCACACGAGGCGUCCAGCUGGGAAGUUCCUACCUCGAGCCAUCAGGACAGCCGGCUCAUUGACGCUGGCUCCACCGUGUCCGGCCAAAGGGCAUUCACCAUCGCCAACCCGGACUCCUGGAGCGAGGUCAGGGACUGCAACAGCUCCCACAUAUGGGCCCUGGCGGCAAGGGCCACCUCCUCCGCGGUCUAGCCGGCACUAAUAUUCACCAUGGCGCCGGCGGCACGUCGUUCUUUGCGAUGAGCCUCUACAGCCGUGUCCACCGCAUCUCAAUUCCCUAGAAAGAGAUGGUGGGGGGCAAUGGCGGGGUCAUGGCGUAAAGAAGGAGAAAAAAGAAUUCAACAAUAAAAAGACAAGAUGAGGCAGGGACGACUCACGGUUGAGAAGGAUGUCGACUUCGCCCGCCUCCUCCUCAACCUCGCGGUCCUGGACCGCACACUCCUAAGCCUGGCGAGCGAGCUUGUUCCCCAGGGCCUGUGUCGCCUUAACUUCCUUCGCCAGUUGAGCUUUCAUGUCCUUCAUGGCGGCGUCCUGCUGCGCCUUUUCGUCAAGGCGCAGCUUCUCCAAACGUUCAAGCUCGAUGGCUUGGGAGGCAUCCUUCCGCAACAUGUUGUCGUUGUGUCCGACGCGCAGCCGCUCCAGCUCCGUUUGAUGGGCCGCCUCGUGGUCCUUCUUCUCCAUCUGGAGAAGCUCUACUUCCUGACGUAGCCGGCCGCCCUCACCGCGCAAGGCGUCGCGCUCCGUGACGGCUCGGUCGAGCCGGCCUUGAAGGUCGCCUGUUUGUUCUAUGUAAUGAUCAUUGGCAUGAAUAAACAUUGCAUAACUAUGCGCUUUUAUACCAAUUUACCAACAAUAAUUUGUUUACCACCGUAUGCUUUUCUACCAAUUUAACAACAGUAAUAUGUUCACCCACCGUAUGUUUCCUACGGGAGACAAGCCUCUAGCGAAAACUAUCGCCCCGGGGUCUAUUCACAAAUAUAUUUACAAAAAUACUAAAUACUUCUUUGAAUUUUAUUAUUUGUAUUUAUUUUUUAUAUUUAAUAUAUUUUAGCUAUCUAUAUAUCACUACUUACCGUUUGCAAGUAACUAGUUCAAGGCGAUUGACAACCCUCUUGCUCGCGUUGGGUGCAAUUGUUUGCUAUUUUGUGUGUAGGCGCUGAACACAGGAAAAUGUGUCGUUCUUCUAUUGGUUUAAUAACCUUGGUUCUCACUGAGGAAAUACUUAUCUAUUCUCUGCUUCAUCAACUCCUCUUUGGGGAUAAAUCCAACGCAGAUCACAAUUAUCACGCGUGCGUUCCCACCCAACAUCGGCGGCCCACAUUCAUACCGAUGUAGAGCGGUCGCUCCGCAUUGAAGCCAUCCCGGAGCGGAUGUGGCAUCUCACUAGCACCGACGUUGAAGCGGUGCAUCGACCGACAGUGCCGCCCAUUGCACACCCGUGUGAGCAUGCCUCUUCGCUGCACUCAAACGCCUCUAUUAAACCCGCAUGUGUGCCAAGAAACCUAUUAUAGUAACAUGUCCAUUUGCGAGAUAGUCGGCCUUAAACACAACACCGGGAAAGCUCCCUGCGCCCGCCUGCUAUAUAAAGGAGGCCAGACGCUGGUAAAGGAUCGCACCACUCCUCCACUCCACAUCUCCCCCUUCCACCAUUUUCCCCCCCUUUCCAUGGCAUCCGACGAGUAGGAAGAGCAGUUGUCCAGUAUAAAAGUUGGUUGGGUGGCUCGCUGAGCCCUCUAGAUACGAACUAGGCAACUUGCUGCUCCUCCUCCCUCGCCGAGCUCGACAAAGAAAGUGGCCGCACCAAGCCGGCGCCUAGUUCAACAACUCUCUAUUCCAAGCCAGCUCACAGAGGAGUAGAGAGUUGCUCCAGACCGGCAUGGUGGAACUGACAUCAUGGCUGCCAUGGACGAGGCCAGGCGCCAAGCCAUCCAGCGUCGACUUUCGCGGAACCGCGUCGUGCUUGUGGACAAAGAAACUAGCUUGGAGAUUGACAAGGCUGCGGGGUUCGUGGGAGUUACCCGCAACUCUCAUACCAGUCGUGCAUGGCAAAAUUUUAGUCAUCGACUUGACUCAUUCCCGUAACCCACGGUGCCGCGCGGCGCAACGCGGCGCGGCGUGGCGAGGAGAGGCGGGCGACGGAGGAGCGCGCGUGUAUGUCUCUCUUGUUCUCAUGCUCAUACAUGUGUGAAACAUCAUCCCUUAUAAGGAGGUCCAACUCCUACCAAACUAGCAACGUGGGACUAAACUUUAGUUCCACCUCUUUCCUUGCACGAAUGGGAUAAGUGGGCCUCUAGGAUUUAUUGGAAAUUCUGAAGAAGAUCAUUGGGCUAGCCCAAAAUUAUUAAAUUCCAGCAAUCCCCCACCAGAUCCUAGAGGCACAAAAAAAUUGCCUUUGGUUCCAAAACACUGUUUAUAUACCGGUACUGCACAGGAGACUAUUAAGUUUAACUUCCACCUAGAACUAUAUGUUAUACUAGUAAGCAACUUGAAUAGUGGACUAUGCCUUGAACUGCAAGUUUUCUGUGAAUCUAGUUUCACAUAGAGCCUUGACUGAUACUAGGCUACCGUUGGUGGAGCUUAUGCGUCAUACUCCGAGGACUUUCAUAAGUUUACUAGAGAGCACCCUACUCUCAUAGAUUGCGAUGUUAACAAUCAGACUCAUGUAGGUGUGUUCUUCAAAAGAGUUCUGUAGGACAACAUCUCUGCUUCAACAAGACAUUUAGAACAUAUAAAGAUAUAUAUCAACCUUCCAUGCAUAUUAGGAAAGUAUUGCAUCUUCAUGGAGUGGUAUUAUCAAUGGUAAGGAUACUUUCCUCUCACUUGACCAACAACUUGUCUUCCACAUCUAAUUCACGGGAUCUCCGGUCACAUUGAAUAGUUUAGCACCGUGAACAACUCAUAUUGUGGGUCUCAUACCCAUCCCCUUCGAUGCAUUAUAUAUCACAUUACAAGAUAGACCCUUAGUAAAAGGAUAUGCCAAAUUUUUAGAUGUUUGGAUAUAAUCCAAUGAAAUAACUCCGGAGUUUCUCAUUUUCCUCACAGAGUUUAACCUUCACUGAACAUGUCUUGAUGACUUCAUGUUAUCCUAUGAACUACUCACUUUUGCACUUACAGUUUGAUUGUUGUGGUUCAUAAGAACACCUGGUGCAGGUUUCUCAACAAACUAUAAGUCAUUCAAGAGCCGACGAAGCCAAUCUUCUUCGCCAUAGCUGUAUCUAGUGUUGUGAGUUCUGCUUCCAUUGUUGACCUCGUUAAGAUUGUUUGCUUGCAAGACUUCCAAGAAACAGCGCCACCACCAUGAGUAAAUACAUAUCCGCUCGUGGCCUUUAUCUCAUCAGCAUGAGAGAUCCAGUUUGAGUCACUAUACCCUUCAAGUACCUUUGGGUACCGAGUGUAUUGAAUUCCAUAACUCGUAGUGCCCUUCAAAUAGCGCAUAACUCUUUCUAGAGCUUUCCAAUGAUCAUCUCCUGGUUUUGAGACAAACCGGCUCAGCUUGCUAGCAGCAAAAGAGAUGUCACGUCUCGUAGCGCUUGCUAAAUACAUGAGCGAGCCAAUUAUUUGGGAUUAUUUCAAUUGAUCUCUAGCAAUUAUUCGAUUCUUUCGAAGCAACACGCUAGCAUCAUAAGGUGUUGGAGAAGGCUUGCAGUUAGUAUAACCAAAGUGACUCAAGAGAUUUUCCACAUAGUGAGAAUGAAGCAAAGUAAUCGCACCGUCAUCACUUCUCAGCAGCUUGAUAUUCAGAAUAACAUUAGCUAAUCCUAAAUCCUUUAUCUCGAAACAACGAGAUAGGAAAUCCUUGACUUCCUUAAUAACAUUCAUAUUUGUUCCGAAAAUCAAUAUGUCUUCAACAUAUAAGCAGAGGAUAACUCCCUCGCCCCCACCAUGGCGAUAGUACACACAUUUGUCAGCUUCGUUUACAACAAAGCCUACACCUAUUAAAGUUCUUUCAAACUUCUCAUGCCACUUCUUAGGUGCUUGCUUAAGUCCAUACAAUGACUUCAAAAAUUUGCACACUUUUCCCUCAUGACCGUCCAUUAUAAAUCCAUAUGGUUGUUCCAUAUAAAUUUCCUCGUCCAACUCUCCAUUUAGGGAAGCAGUCUUAACUUCCAUUUGGUGGACGAGAAUACCAUGUGAAGCUCCUAGUGAAAGAAGUACUAGAAUAGUGGUCAGUCGAGCCAUAGGUGAGUAAGUGUCAAAGAAGUCUUCACCUUCCUUUUGGGUAUAACCUUUGGCCACGAGUCAUGCCUUGUACUUCUCAAUAGUACUAUCAGGCCUAAGAUUCUUCUUGAAUACCCAUUUGCAGCCUAUAGGUUUGCACACAUAGGGACAAUCAGUUAUCUCACAAGUUUCAUUUGCGAGGAUGGAAUCCAUCUCACUACAAACCGCUUCCUUCUAGUAGUCAGCAUCUUCAGAUACAUAAGCCUCUGAAAUAGAACUGGGAGUGUCUUUUAUGAGAUAUACAAGAAAAUCAUCACCAAAGGACUUUGUAGUCCUUUGACUCUUGCUCCUUUUAGGAUUCUCCUUGUUGUUCUCCACAGGAUCUUCAAGAUGUUGUGUUGCAAUAGUCGGUUCAGAAGGUGCACCUACAUCUUGACUCGAUAAGCUAGGCAUCUCCUGAUUUGAUGCGCUAGCCAUAUCCUUAAUGGGAAAUAUAUCUUCAAAGAAGGUCACAUCAUUCCACUCCAUGAUUGUGCCAACAUGCAUGUCAGAUACCUCAUAUUUUAUAAUCAAGAAUCUACAACCAAUGCUAUGAAAAUAUACCCCAGGAAAACAUAAUCCACAGUUUUUGGCCCAAGCUUUCGCUUCUUUGGAAUUGGUAUAUUGACUUUUGCCAAGCAGCCCGAAGUUCAUAGGUAAGAGAGUUUUAACCUUUUCUUCUCCCAUUCCUCAAAUGGAGUUAUCUCUUUGUUCUUUGUGGGAACUCGGUUUAGGACAUGACAUGCAGUCAAAAUCGCAUCCCCCACCAUGCCUUGGAGAGACCUGAUAUGACUAAAAUGGCGUUAACAAAAUCAGUUGGAGUGUGGUUCUUCAUUUCAGCUACCCCAUCUGACUGAGGUGAAUAGGGAGGCGUUCUCUCAUGGAUUAUACCAUGUUCGGCACAAAAAGAAUCAAAUUCAUUGAAAAAAUACUCUCCACCAUGAUCAGACCUAAGCCUCUUAAUUUUCUGAUCAAGUUUGUUUUCCACUUUAGCUUUAUAGAUCUUGAAGAAAUUCAAAGCCUCAUCUUUAGAUUUUAAAAGAUACAGAUGGUACCAUCUAGUGGAGUCAUCGAUUAAUGUCAUAAAAUAUGACUUUCCACCUUUCGUCAAAAACACUGUUCAUUUCACAAAGAUCUGAAUGUAUGAGUUGUAGUGGCGCAAGAUUUCUUGUUUCUGCAGUUGCAUGAGACUUACGAGGUUGCUUAGCUUGCACACAAACUUGACCCUUAGAUCCCUUGAUAGAAGUGAAGUUCAGGAUCAAGUUCAACUUGACUAGCCGCGUCAUAGAACCAAAAUUAACAUGACAAAGACGUGAAUGAAAGACAUUUGAUUCUCUAUUAUUGCAAACGUGAUUAAACCCUUUAUUACAAAACAUCUAAUAAAGAUAGUCUGAACAAGCCUCCUGACUCAUAACCUUUACCAAGAAAAGUUCCAUACUUGGAUAUAAAAUUUAUUGGACUGAAAGACAAACUUGUAGCCAUCUCAACAUAGAGGAGAUCCACUAACAAGAUUUUUAUUAUCGGAGGGUACAUAAUGCAUGUUCUUCAGCCGCAUUAUUUUUCCUGAAGUAAACUUCAGAUCGACCGUGCCAACACCACGAACAUAAGCACUUGAACCGUUUCCCGCCAGGAUGGAGGUAGUCCCUGCGGCCUGAUAUGAAGAAAACAUAGAAAUAUCACCGCAUAUAUGCACAUUAACACCCGUAUCAAUCAACCAAUCAGGAGAACGACAUAGUGAGAGAAUAGUGGGAAGUAUACCAUACCCAACAUCCUGCAUCUCAGCAUCACCAAUGAUAACAUUAGCAAUCUUGUCGCCUUUCCCAUGUUGACGCUUUUCAUAACGGUUAGGGCAACUAGGUGCCCAAUGAUGAGGAUCUCCGCAAACAUGACAAACACCUUUCUUUUUGUCAGUCUUCUUCUUGAGUGUGCUGUGAAGCCUUGUUCUUCCCAUCAAACUUUCCCUUACCAUCAAAUUUGCCCUUGUUAUUGAACUUGUGGGGUUGGAAGUUUUUCUUCUGCACCAGAUUGGCACUAGAACCUCCUUCCAUACCUCAAGCAUGUAUGUCUUGCCUUUUCUUCCACAUCAAGAUUACCAAUGAGAUCCGGAACGGAAAACUCCUUCCUCUUAUGAGUGGGAGAGGUAGCAAAGUUCCUCCAUGAAGGAGGAAGCUUAGUAAUAAUACCUCCGGCAACAAACUUCACCGGUAACAUACAAUUGAAGUUCUCAAGUUCUCCAGCAAAUGAUUGUAUCUCGUGAGCUUGUUCAACCACAGAACGCUCAUCAGUCAUCUUUAUUCAUAGAAUUGUUCCAUGAUAUACAGCUUAGUGCCAGCAUUCGAGACUCCAAACUUGGCCUCGAGCACGCUCCACAUAUCUUUCCAUUGUCAAUUGACGCAUAAGCAUCAACAAUGUUCUCACCAAGAAUACUCAAGAGAGCAUCCUUAAACAAGGUAUCAAUUUUCUGAAAAGCGAAUUCCUGUUGAGGAUCAAGAAUUCCUUCAGGUUUGCCAAGAGUGGCAUCGUAGCAGCUCAUGGUUUGAAACCAUAGAACAUCCCUUACACACCAUCUCUUAUAGUGCACACCCUCGAACAUAGGAGGCCUCAUGGAAGCAGCAAAACCACUCGGGGUAAAUUUCCUAAAAUAAGGUCUUCGGAUUGUUGGAAAUAUGAGCGAUUUACCAAGUGAUUUUACUAGCAGAAAUAGUAGAUGAAUCAUGACUACCAUAGCAAUUAUAAGACAAGCCAGUCGAUUAUACACAGAGUAUGCAAGUAGCAUAUGAAGUGAUGAGCAGGAACGAAACAUAUCUAGAAAAGAAACUAUAACAAGAAGUUGUGGCAGGAACUCAAACAAGAAGAACACGAGAACAUACUGAGUUGGAGCAGCAGCUAUAGUGGGAUUUGCGUUGACGUCGUCAUUGGCCAUGUUGCCGAAGAGGCUGUCGAUGUCGGGGAAGAAGUCGUCAUCCGGGAAGUAGUCGUCAGCGUUCGUGAUGGAAAAGCCAGUAGUCGCAUUGAGCGCUCCCCAAAAACCUUAUCGCCCUUCUCCAGUACAUGACUCAAAGAGACGGGGUUUCGGAGGCCUACUGUUCCGACCUGCGGUGCACGUCGCAAGCCGGGGCGGGGAAAAGCUAGCAGUAGCUCAGAGAUUGGAACUCGUUGGCAUGAGGAAGAUGGUAUUCUCGUGUGUCUCUCUGGAGAGGAGCGACCUGUCUUUUAUAGGCCCAUGAGAAGGAGGCAGGCACGCAACAUCGGGAGGCGAAGCAAAAGAGAUUGCAGUCAGGUUGAUAAUAGUCGAGUGACAUUACUUCGUCGGUCCAAACUAAGGAAUCUGUUAUAAAUGUUUUGAAAUAGAUAUUGUUCUCUCUUUGAUCAGGGAUUGCUAUAUGAAAAUAAGUGGAGUUUGAAAAAGGGAACGAAAUGCUCAAACCGGAACUGCUAGAGGAACGAAUUUUCAAUAGCAUAACUUGGGCUCCUAGAAUAUGGUGCCCUUGAGACAAUCUAUUUGAUUGCAGGGUUUUGUUCUGAAGCAAAGAUAUCCGCAGAGGACGGUUCGUUCGUCCUAUUCUGAUAUUCAGGACCAAGAGGUACUGCAUUCUCUGGCUGAAAUGCCAACGGAACUCUGUCUAUUCUCUAAUUCACCCGAUCCGAUAGUACCUGUUUUUGGAACGUCCAGUGCCAAAGUCAUUGAAUGGGUAAGUCACGAAUCCAAUCCCUUUGACAAAUCGGAUGUCAUAUUAUAUAUCAUAUCCUAUAUAUAUAUAUAGAAAUAUCAUAGAUACCCCGUUUCGUGACGAGGCGAGACGGGCGGCGGAGGAGGAGGAGCGUGCGUGUAUGUCUCUCUUGUUCUCAUGCUCAUACAUGUGUGGAAACAUCCUUUCUUAUAAGGAGGUCCAACUCCUACCAAACUAGCAAUGUGGGACUAAACUUUAGUCCCUCCUCUUGCCUUGCACGAGUGGGCUAAGUGGGCCUCUAGGAUUUAUUAGAAAUUCUGAAAAAGGUCAUUGGGCUGGCCCAAAAUUAUAAAAUUCUAGCACAUAAUUGGGGGGGGGGGUAUACCUCUGGGGCUCCCGAUAGUCCGAUGAGCAGGCUGCCGGACAUGAGGCAGACAAAGGGAUCCGCAGCGCUCGGCCAUAGAUUAGUGUAGGGUAUCCAUGUCGUUAGAAUGGAGCUCCACGCGACCAGACGUGCACAUAGUUUUACCUAUUUUAGUUCAAAUAUGUCCAAAAUGCAAUGAAUUUAGUCCGGUUUAUAUGAAAUCCGUUGUGUUUGCAUGAGUUUCAUCUGCUUUGUUGGAAAAGUGUUUGAAAUAUACUUCCUCCGUUCCAAAAUAUAAGACCUUUUAGGAAUUUCACUAUAAGACUACACACGGAGCAAAAUGAGUGAAUCUAUACUCUAAAAUAUGUCUAUGUACAUCCGUAUGUAGUUUAUAGUGCAAUCUCUAAAAGGUCUUAUAUUUAGGAACGGAGGGAGUAUGUGAGUAACGAUGGAUGACCGACAACACUCGAGAAUAUCAUUUUUGGUGGUGCUCCUCAGGUGCCGAGUCAUCACUUUCAAGGUGAAAACCUAAGGUCUAACUUUCGUUUUGUGCCUUAUAUUAGAGUAUUUAACCAAAAACCACCAUAAUUCAUGGAAACGUGCCUAGAAACUACUACUAUACGUUUUUGUGCCGAAAGCUACCAUUUUUAUCCUAAUCAGUGGCAAAAAACUACCAAGUGUGAAUAUUGCUCCAUUAGCCUCUUUGAAAUGCCUUUUAUCCUAAUCCGUUAACUACUCCAUUAACCUACCUGGCGCAGCCCCGCCGCCGUCGCCAUGGCCUCGCCCAAAGCGGCGGCCGCCCCGUGCCUCGCCGUCGGCAGGCCUCCUUGUCGCCGACCACGUCGCCGUCGGAUCCCGGCGUCCUGCGAACCGCCCCACGCUGCCAGUCUCCAUGCCCUCGCACCGAGCGGCGGCCGCCCCGCGCCUCGCGGCCGAAGGCCUCCCGUCGUGGACCCUGCCGUGGUUGGAUCCCACCGCCUCGCCUCCCUGGCGCAGCCUCGUUGCCCCGUGAACCGCCCCGCGCCGUCCAUCGCCAUGGCCUCGCCUCGAGCGGUCGUCGCCAGCGUCUCGCCGUCACCAGAUCCGGCAGGCGUCGCCCUGGUUCCGCCUCUCCCGGACCUCCCCGCCGCCCUGCUCAUGCCGGAGUGCUGCGUGUAGAUCGCGUCGUCUCCUCCAGAUCCGGUCGCACCGCCGCCGUACUUCAUCUUCUCCACCUCCGGUGAAGGCCGCCGCCGUCUCGAUCUCUUUCUCCGGUGACGGCAAACUUAACGGUGCUGACUUUUCCGUCCUGACAUGUGGGCCAACCCUGUCAUAAUGAGUUUAAACGAGCCAAAUGAGGCGUUUUGCAGACUUGAUUGUUUUUAGUCACAGAUUAGCAAAAAAAAAUUGAUAGUUUUUGGCGCAAAAACGAAUUGUGAUAGUUCCUGGGCACGUUGGCGUGAAUUGUAGUAGUUUUUGAUUAAAUACUCCUCAUAUUACCUUGAUGAAGGUAUUGUUUCGAGAGCUCGGUCUUUUUAAGGGAGAAAACCUAAGAUCUUGGAUCGGACGACGAUGACGCUUGUGCACCGAUUUUUUUUUAAAGGCAUCAUUUUUUAGGAUGGUUUGAGUGUCGCUGCUGCUGAGAAGAGUUGUUCACUGUGACGAGUAGUUGAAAAUGCUCUUACUAUUACAUUUUUCUUUCAAACACGUUACAGUUUACUCCCACCUCAAGUAGUUCCGAGCUACUGUACGUAGUAGCCACACACAUGGAGCGACUCACUCACCUCCAACCAAUUUAACUUUCGUGAAUCUUUGAUCGCUUUUCAUUUGGCCCAGCUCGACGUCACGCGGAUGUCCCCGAUGGAUCUCGCCGGCCACACGCCCCUCGACGACGACGAGAUGAGCAGCGUGUGAUCCUCGUCGCCCCGUCCAUCCAACCGAAGAUAAGACGCCCACUCCCUCCCCUCCACAUGGCACCCACCCUCCAAUCCCUUACUUAUUCCCGCCCCCCUCACUCCUCCAUCCCCUAGCUCCACCUCUCAUCCGCUCCUCAGCCACACCUAGAGCAUCUUAGCUCCAGCUAGCCACCAAUGGCCGCCGCACUGAGCCUCCGCGCGCCCUUCUCCGUGCGCGCUGUGGCGCCACCGGCGCCCCGCGUGGCCCUUGCGCCCGCGGCCCUCAGCCUCGCCGCCGCCAAGCAGGUGCGGGGAGCCAGGCUCCGCGCGCAGGCGACGUACAAGGUGAAGCUGGUGACGCCCGAGGGCGAGGUGGAGCUGGAGGUCCCCGACGACGUCUACAUCCUGGACCAGGCCGAGGAGGAGGGCAUCGACCUGCCCUACUCCUGCCGCGCCGGCUCCUGCUCCUCCUGCGCCGGCAAGUUGGUGUCCGGCGAGAUCGACCAGUCCGACCAGAGCUUCCUCGACGACGACCAGAUGGAGGCAGGGUGGGUGCUCACCUGCCACGCCUACCCCAAGUCCGACAUCGUCAUCGAGACCCACAAGGAGGAGGAGCUCACCGCAUAAGCUGCUUACCCUGCCUCUCUUUGCAACAAGAUCGAGCUGAUAUCAUAUUAUCUCCCAUCAUGCAUGCAUGCAUGGAUAUCGCCAGAUACACCGAUUUGUUUGUGCUCGAAUGAAUUGCUCGAUGCAUGGUUUGCUCCAGUAAUAAUGUCUUCGAAUUACUACCUUUUUGUACCGUAAGAUAUACUACUGUCGUAAUACUAGCGUGUACUUAAUUCAACGUACUGAAAUGAAUCCUGAUGGCUGAGGUGUCUCUCUGAUUAAUAAUAUCUUCUUUUUUACUUAAGAUAAGAGACUGCUGAAUGUUGGUUGCUAACGGUGGUGGUUGAUGUUGAAGUUUUGUUGCUGCAAGUUGAUUGCUUCGCCGCGUUAUGCCUUGCCUUGUUUCUCAUUUAUGUAUUUUUGAUGAUGCAUCGUCGCACUAGGUAGCUCUUGAAUUGUGUUUGGGGGCACCUUGAAAUUAAUAAACAGUAAGGUAGGUCACAAUGUCUUCAACCCCCUUUCUAGAAACCACUCUAACAUCAAAUAGAAUAUUACUCUAUUGAUUAGUACAGAGAUGCUAUAUACACUUUGUCACAGUUUGUACAGAGAUUGUAGGUGAAUGCAAUUGAAUUAAACCAUAUGUGACAUGCACCGUGAAGUCGAAACCUUGCAACAUAGUGUCAGAAAUAACAAAUCGAUGUCUUACUUCAUUAGAUGUGGAACCAUCUACCCUCGUUGUUGAUCAUCAUAAUGGUUUUAUAAACCCCCAACAUGUUGUGUUUUAAAACGAUUGUACCAUGUUCUUGUUUCGACUGCCGGGGGGAGGGCUCGUGAUGACCUACUCUUUCUCAAGUUAUCAUGUUAGUCACUUGGAUGACUUAGGCCCUGUUUGGAACUAUAAUACUCCCUCCGUUCCAUAAUAUAAGUCUUUUUAAAGAUUCCACUAAAAAACUACAUACAGAUGUAUAUAAACAUACUUUAGAGUGUAGAUUCACACAUUUUGCUCCGUAUGUAGUCCACUAGUGAAAUCGCUUAAAAGACUUAUAUUUAGGAACGGAGGGAGUAGAUUAUAAUAAUCUAGAUUAUGAAGAUAGAUUAUAUAAUCUGGUUUAUAAAAAUAAUCUAGAUGGACAUGUUUGGAGGCCGGAUUAUAUAAACUGUAAUCCAGAUUUUACAUUGCAUAAUGACCUGUCUGCCCUCUGUUUAAAAAAAAAAAAGGGUGGCGGUGGUAGGAAUGUAAUUAUCUCCAACUUUACAAGGGUAAUAGAUCAUUAGCAAUCCAUAAUCUGAUUUUAGCUGGUAUAGACUAGAUUAUGAGUUUUUAAUAAUAUAUCCAUCUAGUUUUUAUAAUCUACACCAUAAGCUGUCCUGUUUGAAGACAAAAUAGAUUAUAGAAACUGGAUUAUAUAAUCUGGAUGGUUCCAAACAGGGCCUUAGAUGGAGAUAAUGCACACCAUUGAAAAAAUUAUACUUAUAGAUAGGGUCACUUUAGUGGCUGGAAUAGUCUCGGACCUGUCACUCGUACUUCGGUCCAACAACGUACAUGCCAUUGCAAUUUACUGAGCAGGGAUUGCCGCCCGCCACUGAUUUUCUAGUCCCACAUUGGCCAUGGGGAAACCUUUUCAGUGGCGGGCGGUCGGGUACAACCUACCACUGGCAGUGAAGUUGUCACUGGCAGGCACCGGUUUCCUCCAACCAUUAGUGCACCACAUAUGUAAUUUUCUAAUUUCCUGCAUUUGUUUUUACAUUUUAGUGUGGUAUUCUUUUGUGACUUUGUUACUGUAUGAGAAUUGUUUGACCUUUGUAGUAUCUUUAUUUGCUAUAUUUUAGACAUUUUAUUAAUAAAGUUGUAUUUAAUUGAAUAUAAUUAUAUUUUUUGAACUACAACUAUAUAUUUUAAAUUACUUUCAAAGGUUCGAAGACAAAUAUUUAUGUCUCGUGAAACAAUAGUAUUGUUUCACCAAUAUUUGAGCAGUUUUUCAGCAUAUGUAGUUCAUAUUUAAUUUAUGUCCAUUAGAUAAACUAAAAAUGCAUUUAAUGCCCCAAAUAUAUCAUAUAAACCUAGAAACGCAUUUAAUGCCCCAAAUAUAUCAUAGAAAACUAGAAUAGUCCUGAAUUUGACCAAGGAACUUGUAAUGGUGUAUACCAAAAAUAAAAAAAGUUUCUGUUAAAAAAUGAUGAAAAAAUUGUGUUCCCAUUCAAACCCAACAUUUUCCCUUAGAAACGUUGAUACUUCCGUGGAGACUGUUAUUUCUACGUGAAGUGCAUCGGAUUUUUUCUGUGAGUCUCUAAUUUUGUUACCACACCUUCGGUUUCAUAUCAUGACACCAUGCAAAGUUCCAUCAUUUUCAAACUGAAUUUACAUCUAUGUAUAAAAAAAAUCAAUACUCUUAAUAGCUAGAAAUUGAUCUGAUGCUUAAAAAUAGCAAAUCAACCCAAAAGGUGAUAAAGUCUAUCAUGAGUCUUUAUGAAGUAAAUUCAACCCCACAAAAGGUGGAAAUUAAAUUCUACCCCUAAAGCAGUAAAGCAAACAUAUUGCAAAAAAUGCAAAAAAGUAGCGUGCGACCAUAAACACCCUCCAUUGAUUGAUUUUGGUCACAUUCCCGCGAGUGAGUGGGACAUGCCCGCACCUUCAACCUGCAAAUGUGGUUGCCUUAUCCCCCAUUGUCGACCUCUCCCAUCCGACUCUACCCAAUCCCUAGCUUGCAAUCACCAUUGCUGCACCCGUCGUUGUCGCCGGCGAGGGAAUCAUCGUCUUUUUCAUGGGUUGUCAUUGUUGCAACAACCCCGGUCAGCGUGGCCGAAAUGCCCACCCCAUGGCCUCCUCCACCAGCAAUGGUGGCCUAACCCGCUGCCACUAGCCUCCUCUUCCUCCAAGCCCGAUGCCUUUAACUCUCCCCAUGUCUCCUUGCGCGUCGGUGGCCCCAAUCUCCUGGUUGUAUUUUGCAAUUGCAAAGGACAUUGUAUUCGUUGUGAGAUACUUAAAUCUGUUGAAAGGAUAUCGAAUUCUAUAAGCAACAUGCUUCUUGCUUGUGGAAUGUGCAGGCUAUUCUUUCAUGGAAAAUUUGGUCUUAGGAUACUUGGGGAUAGGAAAUAGAGAAUUAAUCAAGGUAGAUUGUUGUUAAUCCAUUUUGCUUCAUAUCCUUCUAUUGAUGUAUGAUUAGCUCGUUCUUUCUAGACUACGCCAUAUACAUCAUUUCUUUAGCAAAUUUAUUUACUCCUGCUUGCAUAACUAUGUCGUAUGCAUCAUUAUGCUUAGCUCCUGCUUGCAAGAUUACUUGAGGAUAAUAGGAAGCAAUUAUGGUUUCAGAAUAAACCAAUCAGAAUAAGAAACACAUCCUCUAUACUCACAUCAUCUUUUAUACCUCAAUGCUUGUAGGUGUAGUGUUUUUUGCCCCAUGCAAAUUUGUGUUACGUCAUCUUUUAGAUACAAAUCAUGGUACCCUUGUUCCUGUCUUGACAUCAUGGUCAUGUUUUAAAAAAAGCAUUUUCUUAUUUAUGUUACACCCCACAUGUAUGUAUACAUAUAUUUCUUUUUUAUGUCUCUUUGAAGGUUGUUAGUGCCACAUGUAGGUGGGGUUGUAUUUUUUUAUUGGUGAAAGUUGUUGGUUCUACAUGUUGUGUCACCUUAUAUAAGGUGUAUUACACUUUAAAUAGUAAUGUGCAUAUCUCCAAAAUUUGUAGGGCUUCAAAAUGAGUGCCAAAAUUCUGGCGAAAUGUUGAUUUAUUUCCAUUUCACCACAUUUUGAGCACUCAAUAUUUUCAAUUUUUUUAGCAAAACUAUGCCCAACUUUUCCAAUGAUUCAUAAUUGUUUACCCUUAUUAUUUUAUAGAUGUACUGGCUAUACUAUAGUGUAUAAAUGAUGCGACGAACUAUGUGUUUUCUAUUUAAUUUCUCAACAUGAAUGUAUGCAAUCAACCAUGUAUACCCAUGAUGUGGUAACAUCAACGUAGGUGUGUGCCACAGGUGCUUAUCAACUCUAAGGAAUUCUACGUAGAUCUUGACGAGAACUUUCCACAGAGGAUUGUACGUUUUAAUUCAACAUGUGUUGUGGAUGCUGAAUUGCUCACAUAUAUAAAAUUACCCAAAAAAUGUCUAUUUUUCAUAUUUCUCCAUGCAUCCCUUGUUAUGCAAGGCUCACUUCCUACAUAAAGUGAACGUGCCAUAGAGGAGAAGGUUACAUUUGAGCUCAAGAUGAUCAUGUUAAAAAAUGGCACAACCUUCAACCUUACGGUCACCAACGAGGCACACGGAACCUUUCAGUUGCCCAUGUUGAAGAGGGAUUGCAACCGAAUAAAUGAUGCAAAAUGCGAAGGCAUUCUUGUUUUUUUAGCGAAGGCGUUCUUUGUCGUUUCUUGGCGAACAAGAUGAUGAUGACAACAUCUAUAUGUGGUUCACACCGCCCCCACCACCAUAGUUGUUCUUGGUGGAAGGAUUCGGAGUUCAUAGGCAUAGUUUUAUCAUGCACUUCAUUUAAUGCAUAUGUUAUAUCUUUUUAUAAUCAUCCAAAUUUAUUCCUCAAAUAACGGCUAUAUCAUUUAAAAUUAAAAGAGAAAUAGAGUUUAGGGGACUAGAAUCCCAAAUAGAAGAGGGUCUAUAGGUAAAACUAGUCUUUGCUAGAGAAUCUGCUAUUUUGCUUCCCAAAGCAAUGGGCAAAAGAUGUGCCAGCAAAGUCCAUCACCAGAAAAUAGCAUUCCACGAUAGUGGCUGCAUCUGGCUCGAAAUUAUUCGUAUGCCAGUUCACAACCUCCACAACUAGGAUACCCAUGAUGUUUCGAUAAUCACAUUAGGUUUCCAUCACAUUAUUGCACACAAUGUUUCCAGCCAAACGAGCCCUUUGCGAAUGGCACUUAACUCUAUCAAAUCGGCACUACUGACAUGAGGCAAAUACCAUGUAACAGUGAAUGACACUUAACUCUAUCAAAUCGGCACUACUAACAUUAGGCAAAUACCAUGUAGCAGUGAAUGGCACUUAACUCUAUCGAAUCGACACUAUCGACAUGAAGCAAAUACCACAUAGCAGCGAGAGAAAGUUGCCUUUGUCAUCACGUACAAUAGCUCCCAUCGCACUCGAUUGUGUUUCAUAACGGAAAGAAGCAUCCACACUAACAUUAACACUUCCCAUGUUAGGUCUCUUCCAUAUAUGAUAUUUUUUUCAUACAGCUGAUUUGAAGUUACUGCUCUUAUGAAAUCUUUGGCCAAAACAUUGAUAGAAACUGCUCCCUUUUAGGGUUUUGGAGAGUGUAGGAUCGAAAGUAUGUCUAGUGGAGGGGGCUUCAUUAGACUACUUGAUAAGAUAAAAACUGAACCUUUUUCCUAAUUUUAGUUGUGGGCUAGUUUUAGCAAUUAUGACUAGUCAAGUUCAUCCUACUCAUGCAUAUCUAAGAUUAUAGCAGCGGAAAGUAAAGACAUGCAAAUGUAAUGAAGAGGGUAAGGUAGGAAGAUCAAAUGCAAAGGUCGACACGGUGAUUUUUGGCGUGGUUCUGAUAGGUGGUGCUAUCGUACAUCCAUAUUAGUGGAGACUUCAACCCACGGAGGGUAACAGCUGCGAGAUUACACAAAGGGCUCCACCCACAAGGGCUCCACGAAGAAGCGGCCUUGUCCAUUCCACCAUGGCUUACGUCCACACAAGACUAACCUCACUCACGGUAGAUCUUCACGAAGUAGGCGAUAUCCUUGCCCUUACAAACUUCUUGGUUCAACUCCACAACAUGAAGUAGGAGGCUCCCAAGCGACACCUAACCAAUCUAGGAGGCACCACCCUCCAAAAGUUAAUAGAUGCAAUAGAAGGAUGAACUCCUUGCUCUUGUGCUUCAAAAGAUAGUCUCCUCAACACUCAAUCACUCUCUCAUAGAUUUUGCAUGGGUAGGAGAGAUUGAUCCCAUGGAAAGCAACUUGGGGAGGCUAGAGAUCAAGUUUCAAAUGGUUGAAUUGGAAUCUCUUGAUCUUAACACAUGCAUGAGUAGGUGGCUUUCUCUCAGAAAUAUGGAUCUGGCAAGUGGGUGUGUGUUCUCAGUGCUUCCUUUUCGAAUGCGAGGAGGUGGAGGGGUAUAUAUAGACAUCUCCCAGAAUCCAACCAUUACCACAUUAUUUCCCAAUGCGGUGACACCGAAAGGAAUCUUAGUGGUACCAAGUUGCAAUAAAUGUGGCACCUUUUGAAUUCUUGGUAGACCAAUAUAUGAAUCUCGAUGGUAAAGAUACGAUGAUCUAGACCAGUUUCCAAAUCUCGGUGAGACCAAUUCCAAUCUCGGAAAUUCUGAUUGUUGGAAUUUUCUCAACAGAAAGUUGGUCAUUGAAUCUCGGUGGCUCUCAUAUGAAAGUUUGUGGUACCGCCAGAUUAGAGUCUGGCAACGGAUCCAUUGGGUGGAAAAUUAGUAGGGCCAAGUGGAAAAUAUUGGUGGCACCGAUUUUGCUCGUUUAGCUUUGGACAGGGAUAUCUUGUGGGAGAAUGGCUUAGUAGUUUUGGUGGCUAUCUCUAAGCACUUGAGCAACCAAUUCACCGUAAUACCUCACCCCCUUUAAAUAGUAUUGGCCUUCCUAUGGACUCAAAGUGAUUUAUCACAUAUGUAAAAUGUAGAGUCUUCUUGCUUGAAGCUUGAGCUAAUCCUAUUCCUUCCUUCAUCAAGGGGUUUCUCCACACAAUCCUUUAGCCAAGGCAUCUUUGAACUUUUCUAAAAUAUACUUGGAUAACAUCAUUAGUCCAAUGAUGCAUAUGUUGUGAUCAAUUAUCAAAACCACCUUAGGGAGCAAUUGUGCUUUAAAUCUCUCCCUUUUUGGUAACUGACGACAACAUAUAGAUCAAAGCUUCAACAAAAGGUAUAAUCAAUUAUUAGCAUCGACGCUUUGAGAAGUACGUGGAAAGCAAGAGAUGCCCCUAUAUUUGUGCAUUAUUUUAUAUUUGCAUUGGAAUGCAAAUGCACAAUCGAUUAGGAUCAUGGGUCACUCUUCCAUGUCACAUAUAGCUUGGUGGUGCGCAUAAAUGAUAUGAAUAAAUAGUAAUGCACAUAACACCAAACAAGCAAGUGAAUGAUCAUCAAGUAGAUGGCUCCAAGGUAAUAACGUGGUAGCAGCAAUCAAACAAAGUAUAGAUCAAACACUUCUCCCAAACACAUAAAGUCAACCAAAAGACCAAAAAAUUGAAAAACCAAAUGAGACCAAAUAAAAUGCAAACCUCUCCCUCUCGAAGACUAUUUGAUCUAUACACUUGUCCUCCUUUGGCGACAAGUUACCAAAAAGUUUGAAGGUCUAGAACUAAUUAUCUCUCUGGCUUGAACUCCUCCGGUAGAUGAUGAUGGAGUGGAUAGGAGAGCGUCGAUGAAGGCUUUUGCACAUGUCCCUGGAGCUGGAGGUGUUGACACUAGAGGUGCAGGAGCAGGAGUUGAAGGUGCUAAAGCUUGAGCUGAUGAAGAUGGUCUUGCUUCCAGAACUGGCAUAGUUGUUGACCUAGUCUGGGUCGUGAACUGAGUAGUAGUAGGAAGAGGCGACUCUUCCUCAUCACUUCUAGAGCGGGAUAUAUGCACAGAAUCAACUUUAUGCUGGAGCUGCUCAACAGUGGUAGUCAACUCCGUUACCUUAACCUCCAAGUCAUGGAAUUUUGUCUCCACGAUCCUCUCAAGUCUCUUCUGGUUCAGCAAGAUCUCGGAAAUUUUCUUCUCCAUCCCUUGGAUGGUACUGACCAAGAAUGACAUCUGCUCAUCUCUGGUCCUGAGCUAUGCGGUUGAAGCUGGAGCAUUCCUAGCAGCCGCUGUCUCUGCUACCUCUGCUGCCGCUUGAGCUGUAGCUGAGCUAGGAUGGCUAGGGUCCAUCACAACUUCAUUAUCUUCAAACUCUGGCUGAAGUGGCAGGUGGGGACGAUCAAGUAGAUAUGCAUGCUUGCCAAUCUUGGCAUUGAUGAGCAUCUGAAUAUAUGGAGCAUAUCCACAGGAUUUCUUUUGAUCUACAGCAGUCUUCCUCACAUGCUCAACUAUCAAGUCCAUCAUUAUGAACCGGAAGUGGGUGUCUAGAUGAUCCAACAUGUUGAUGGAAUAACCUCUAAUAAUCUUAUCCUCUCCUGAUUUGGGCAUGAGGGUGUAUCUCAUAAUGGUGUUUGUAGUAGGUAUCCCUGCUUGCAAGAAAUAGACAAAUCCAAACUUGUACAUCUGCACAUAUUUAUGAGGCACUGGCUUGUACAUUUUGCCGUAGAGUUAUGAUUCAUCUUGGGUUCUGAGUACACAUCCAGAUCUCCUUCUUGUGCCUUUGGAUCACCAAUUGUAGUGGCUCACUCAUACAUAAUAGACUCAUACCGGUGACCUUCAGUCAUCCAUACAAUCCUUCCGUCAGAACAGAAAUUAGCGAUGGAAUAGAAUUGCAUGAUCAUCUCAUCAUUCCAAGCAGUCAUCUCUCUGCCAACAAAAUAUUUAAUAUCGACUAGCCUGAAGUUUUCUCUCACAUGGGGAAAAUAAUGCUCACUGGCCUUGAUAUAUUCCCAAUGGACAUAUCUCAUAUCGCUGACUGCAAGACUCUUAUCAUGAAACACACUCUCAUAGAAAUCUUGUUGCUCCUUUAUGUGAAAGCGGGGAUCAACAACAGUUCUCCGUCUCACAUCAUAUGGAUCAACUGAUCUCCACUUACUCACUCCUUGAUCUCUCCUCUUUUGUAUGUCCUGAGCAGUUGGUGAGCAACAUUGUGUAGUGGCAGAUGAGCUCAAAGCUUCAUUAGAACAGGGGCACCCUCUUCCUCUUCUACCGCAAACUCUCUGGAUGCAGAGCCUUUGUUCCUCUGUGCUGCAGGAAUGUCCUUGGUAGUCUUCUUGGGAGCUACAGACUUCUUAGGAGUUGAGAACUUCUUGGGAGCAGAAGGCUUCUUUGGCAUAGCAUCAACCAUCGGCUUUUUCUUCAUAGGAGGAGGGACCUUAUGUGGAAUUUAUUCCUCCUCCUCAUCAACAACUUCUUCUGGGUCUUCAUAUAUUGAGGUUGGCCUUCCAAUAACAUAGUCAAUUCUCUUUCUUGCUCUCGUAUGACAUGGCUUCUUUGCAAGCCUAGCUUCUGGAGCUUUCAUGUCAGAACGUAUGGCAUAUUCCUUCCUCACAGUCUUCCUGACUGCGGUCUUAUCUUUCUGCUUCUCAGGAACAGAUUCCUCUGGAAUAAAGUCAACAUCUUCUUCAUCCGAAUUGAUCUUCCUUCUGGACCUGGUAGCUGCCUUGGACAAGCUAUGGGAGCUAGGUGUCCCUGGGUCAGAAGGUGUCCUCCUAGGACUAGUGCCUGAAUCCAUCUCAGCACUUGGCUCAGUGAAGUUGUUCUGACUAUCCUCUGAUCCUGACAUACUGUCACAGAGCCAAGUAGACAAUCAAACCCUAUGAAUAGAUAUACAAGAUCUAGAAGGGAUGAGCAUCACAAAAAUCAGAAGUUUUGGAAAAAUCGAACUCUGAAAAGUUAGGUUUAACAUUUAGCAAAAAAGGAUUUGUGUUCCAUCGAGACAAAAAUUUCGGAGGCACCGAUACUGACGUACUAAUUAACAGAAACUUGGCACCCUUUUCCGUUCCACUGAAAAGGAGAACUCACUUUCACCGAGACCGUUCUCGGUAGCCCUAAAAAAUCGUUAAGACCAACUUUUCUAAAUCGGUGACACCGAGAUUCAAUCUUGCGGAUGGCUAACCCUAAGAAUUCCAUUGUUCUCUAAUCUAUGGAAUUUUUCUUCUAGAUAGGAUGAGUGUAGAAGUGGACAAAAUUCAUCAAAACCUUAAUGCACAAGAAUCAGAAUUGGAGCGCAUAAAGGGGUCGGAUCCGUACCCUAGCUUGGUGAUGUAUCCGCUACGGCAACGACGACGGUGAAGAUUCCUGUUGACAACGAAGACUCCGGUGGUGAGGGCGCACGUGAGAAUUAAGGCGAUGUCCACGGGACUAGGGCGCGGCAUCGAGGAUGUGCGUCACGCGACGUUUGAAGUGAUUUUCCAAUCAUCGGGUCCGUGAGAUAUAUAUAUCUCCUAGCUGUCGGUGACACCGAUAUGGAAUUUUUGGUGCCACCGAGUUCCACAACUGUCAACUGAAAGUGAAAAUAGGUGAGGCCGGAAAGAACAACUCAGUCAUACCAAGUUAAGAAAACCUGAUCAACCCUAGGCUUCGGUGGGACCGAGAUUUUGUGGUUGGUCACACCGAGAUGCAAUUUGGGAGGUUUUGGGAUUCAGCACUUGUCGAGACGGAUCUAUCAAGCACUUGUGUCCCUAAAGUUCUUGCUCAAAUUUUGUGUUGUAGCAUGAAUAGAAUUUGAGACGAGAAAGCAUAGAUAGCUAGAGGGAAGUACUUAGGCAUUCUUGUAUAUCCAAUUGGCCAAAUGAAAUAGAAAGACAAAUAACAACAAUUGGAUAUCCUCGAAUGAGAAAAAUAUGCAUACCAACAUGCUCACACAAUAAGGUGUCAAAUAAAACAUGGUGAACAUGCACGAACAUUCUAGCAUCUAUCAAGCACUUUGGCGAUAAGGAAUUCAUCUAUAUAUGAGUAUAUUGACAUAGGAGCCAAGUAAGAGUACUUGACAAUAGGUCAUACUCAUCGAUUAAGAACAAGUGGGGUUAUCACUUUUACAUAAAACAUUAAUGUGCUCACAUCAUUUAGGAGACGCUUAUACUCAAGUCUUAGAGUAAAGCUCCUCCUAGAUGUGACAACCCCCUAAGAGGGAUAAACUAACCUUAGGUUUUGUAGUAGAAGAUUUCAAGUAGGUGUAGUAGUGGUGCAUGCUCAUUGUUGAUAAAGAUCAUCUUUGAGUUGGGAGCAAUCCUAGUUGUUUCUUACCCUUCUCACCUACAUGGGUUAGUCCCAAAGCAAAAGGAAUGUAUGCAAGAAUAUCUAUGGACAUGGCAUGAAGUGCAUGAGAGGUGAUGUAAAAAUAUGCAUUAAUUACCUUGUCCUUUGCUUACCUUUGAGGUAAUGUGUGACUCCUUGAACUAAUGCAUAUGGUUGGAGUUGAUUGCAUAUAGUUCUUGCCAAAAUGAAUAAGAGUGAAUUUGAUUGGUAGAGUCACCCCCUCAAGAAGUUUCUAGUUCUUCAUCUUAGGGACCCACAUCAACUUGAUGGGGAUCCUUGGAGUUGUGAUAGCAGUAGAUGAGGUAGUGUUAGUUGUGUCCAUGGGAUUCCACUCGACCUUGGCUUGGGUUUCUUCCUCAAAUGAUUCAAUCUCCUCUUGAAGCUUUCCCUUGCCCUUGUGAUCUUGUGGUUGAAGGUCAUGUUGAGAGCUUGUUCCCUUGGGAAGAGUAGGAUCAUACUUUUCCUCUUGAGGAACGAACUUCGGUAUGGGAUAUAGACCUUCUUCCCAUUCAUCUCCGUUGGCAUUGAGGUAACCAACACCGUGCUUCUUCCGAUGUCCUCCUAGCUUGCGCAUAAUUUACUCGAAUUGCUAACUUUCGGCAAGACUCUUGAAGACACCUCUCUCUUCCUUUCCAUAAAUCAUUUUCUUUCUCAAGUGUAACUUGGCUAAGAGAAUCAUUAGUGGAAUCAAGAGAGCUACUAGAAACAACAUCAUUUGAUCUAACUUUAGCAUUUUGUUACUAGAUGAAGAAACUUUCUUGCAUUUGUUACUAGUGUUCUUAGGUUUGACUUGUGGAAUAAAAGUAGAUAAGAUUAAUCAUUUGAAUAGAUAAGAAUAACUCUUCUUCCGAAGAUCAUCAUUGAUUGCUCUUAGAAACUCAUGAUCUUGUCCUAAAUUUAGCUUCUCGAAGCAUAACUUCUCAUGAGUUCUUGCAAGCUCCCUUUGAUCUUCUAGAGUAGUUUCACGAGCUAACUUAAGAGUGUUAAAUACUUUAGUUAGUUGUUGAGUAUCUUUCUUAUCAUCAUCAUUCGAUUUCUCUUGACUAGCAUGAUUAUGUUCAAGUUCAUUUUCAAUGUUCUCACUAGUCUUAUCAAGGAGCAAGUCAUCUCCUCCUAACAAGUCAUCCUCAUCACUAUCAGAGUCAAAGUAAUUGGGGUGUGAUACCUUGGGGCCUUUUUCCAUGAAGUUGUUUCCAGUCCCUUCAUUUGGUGAAUCAAAUAAGUCAUAGGAGUUGGAGGAAACGAGUUCAAGACCGACAACACCUUCAUCUUGACUAUAGUCAGAGUUGGAGUGGUAGCUUCUCUCAGAUUGGUUGUCAGACUCGGAGCCGGAAAGCCUUUCACCAACAUGAUCUUGAUGUCUUGUUCUUGAGAUGCUCUUGGUGUACUUGUCCUUCCUCUCCAAUUCCUUUCCUCUCUGGGAGUGUCUUCGUUCAUAAUGAUCUUCUCUAAUCCUUCUCUUUGUGAGAGGUGACUCAUCUCUUGAGCUUCGUCUUCUAGGUGACUAUUCUCUUCUUUUGUGGGGAGCCGAGCACUCAUUGGAAUAGUGUCCUGGGUUUCCAUAGUUGUAGCAGUAUCGGUCACGACUAGACGAACGCUUCUCAUCAUGUAUUGAGCUUGAGCUUCUCUCCUUGCAUCUACUUUUGUAGAACUUGUUCAAUUUUAUGACCAUGAGGUUGAUCUCUUCAUUCGUAACAAAGUUGUCAUUUGAAGUAUCUUGAGUAUAACUUGAAACUCUGUAAGUACCGCUUGACUUGUUGUGCAACUCAUCUUUGUCCUUGAGUGACAUUUCAUGAGCAACAAUCCUUCCAAUAGCUUCAGUUGGCUUGAGAUCCUUGUAGUUUGGCAUCAUUUGAAUUAAUAUACACACGGUGUCGUAUCUUCCAUCCAAGGCUCUAAGUAUAUUCUUGAUGAUGAAUUAGUCGGUCAUCUCUUCACUUUCUAAGUCGGCAAUCUCAGCGACUCCCUCACCAUCCUUCAUCUUGAACUUGUCAAGAUGACUUUGAGGCACAUCCAACUUAGAUUCCAUGACAAAAUCAGCACCUUCGUGCAGAUGAAUCAAAGUAUCCCACGUGCAGAUGAAUCAAAGUAUCCCAAAUUUUCUUUGCAUUCUCAAGGCUUGAGAAUUUUAUUGCAACAUGUUCAAUUCUUCCGAUGUCGCAUCACGAUCCGGUUCCCUUGCUUCUCCAAAUAAAUCACCUUGCACACCAACACGAAUAACAGCCCAAACGGUAGGAUUAUGACCAAGAAUAUGCAUUUUCAUCUUAUGCUUCCAACUAGCGAAGUUUGUACCAUCGAAAUAUGCACCUCUACAGUGAUAAUUUCCCUCACUAGGCGCCAUACUCUCCUAGGUUGUGAAACCAAUGCAAUGGAGGCCAAAACUUUGAUACCACUUGUAGGAUCGAAAGGAUGUCUAGAGGGGGGAGGGUGAUUAAACUACUUGACAAGAUCAAAACUUAGCCUUUUCCCAAUUUUAGUUGUGGUCCAGUUUUAGAAACUACGAGUGGUCAAGUUCAGCCUACACAUGCAUAUCUAAGAGUAUAGAAGCGGAAAGUAAAUACAUGCAAAUGUAAUGUAGAGGGUAAGGUAGGAAGAUCAAACACAAAGGUUGACACAACUAUUUUUGGCGUGGUUCCGAUAGGUGGUGCUAUCAUACGUCCACAUUAGUGAAGACUUGAACCCAUGGAGGGUAAUGACUGCGAGAGUCCACGGAGGGCUCCACCCAUAAGGGGUCCACGAAGAAGCGGCCUUGUCUAUUCUACCAUGGCUUACAUCCACACAGGAGACAAGACUAGCCUCACUCACGGUACAUCUUCAUGAACUAGGCGAUCUCGUUGCCCUUACAAACUUCUUGGUUCAACUCCACAACACGAAGUAGGAGGAUCCCAAGCGACACCUAACCAAUCUAGGAGGCACCACCCUCCAAAAUGUAAUAGAUGCGGUAGAAUGAUGAACUCCUUGCUCUUGUGCUUCAAAAGAUAGUCUCAUCAACACUCAAUCACUCUCUCACAUAUUUGGCAUGGGUAGAAGAGAUUGAUCUUGUGGAAAAAACUUGGGGAGCCUACAGAUCAAGUUUCAAAUUGUUGAAUUGGAGUCUCUUGAUCUCAACAGAUCAGUAGGUUGCUCUCUCUCAGAAAUAUGGAUCUCGCAAGUGGGUGUAUGUUCUGAGUGCUUCCUCUAUGAAAUUGAGGAUGUGGAGGGGUAUAUAUAGGCAUCUCCCAAAAUCCAACCGUUACAACAUUAUUGCCCAACUCGGUGACAUUGAAAGGAAUCUUGGUGGUAUCGAGUUGCACUAAAUGUGGCAACUUUUGAAUUCUCGAUGAGACCAAUAUAUGAUCUCGGUGGUACCGAUACGAUGACCUAGACCAGUUUCCAAAUCUCAGCGAGACCGGCUCCAAUCUCGGAAAUUCUGAUUCUUGGAAUUUUCAUAACAGAAAGUUGGUCACUGAAUCUCGGUGGCACUGAUAUGAAAGUUGGUGGUACCGAGAGAUUAGGGUUUGGCAAAGGAUCUCUCUGGUGGAAAAUCAGUAGGGUCGAGUGGAAAAUAUUGGUGGCACUGAUUUUGCUGGUUUAGCUUUGGACAAAGAUAUAUUGUGGGAGAAUGGCUGAGUAUUUUUGGUGGCUAUCUCUAUGCACUUGAUCAACCAAUUCAUCAUAAUACCCCACCCCUUUUAAUAGUAUUGGGUUUCCUAUGGACUGAAAGUGAUUUCUCACAAAUGUAAAAUGUAGAGUCUUCUUGCUUGAAGCUUAAGCCAAUCCUAUUCCUUCCUUCAUCAAGGGGUUUCUCCUCACAAUCCUGUAGCCAAGGAAUCUUUGAAUUUUUUCCGAAAUAUACUUUGAUAAGCUCAUUAGUCCAAUGAUGCAUAUGUUUUGAUCAAUUAUCACGACCACCUUAGGGAACAAUUGUGCUUUCAGAGAGUUUCACCCCUCACAAACUGUUGUCGUUGCCACCAUAUAAACUAAGAAGCCACUACAAUCAGUUAUGAUGUUGGCAGCUCCCCUACUUUGGAUUGGUUUCUCUCUAAAACCUCAAUAGUUACAGAUCCUGACCGGUCCUCACAAACUGCCUUAUGGAUCACAUCUUUCACUCCAAGCUUUUUCCAAAUUCUAGAAGCACAACAAGAGGUGAAUAAGUAGUUAGAUAUCUUCAAACCCAACAUUGACUAGUAACAUGUAUGUGACAGCCAGUGAGCACUCCAAAGCAUGGUCGAAUUCCCCUCAGAACCUUCCAUGCAAAGGGUUUAACUUUGCGACAAACUCGAAGCCUUCAAGUAUGUUGUGUGUAAGUGUUAAACAUAAGAAAGUUGUUAAACUAAAUUGUGUUCUUAAUUUGUGCUAUAUAACUAGAUAUUGUGCCUUCUAUGAUACUACAAUUACUGUUAAACUGAAAAGCCCGCCACGACAACCAAAAAUGUUGACGUGUUCACUUGGCCUGACAAACAAUACUAGUGGCGGGCAUGUAUAAUAAACUGCCACUGGUACAAACAUUAGCAGUGGUGGACGCCCUGCCUGCCACUGAUGACUGGUUAGUAGCGACAGACACCCUUCACAAUAACCCUGCCAUUGGUAGGCAUUUUGUGUCUGCCACUGCUAGCCUGUUCUCCAGUAGUGACAAGGGUUUUCCUCCAAGACUAUAUCAUUCAUACCUAGUAUGCGUAGGAGUUAUCACCCGAUUUAAUGCAUGCAUGAUAGCAUGAAUCCUUUAGGGAUAAUUUGGAAGCAAGGUAAAGAAAAUGAGGGUAGCAAAUCCUCCCUUAUCACAUGAAUUUAAACAUCCCAUGUUAUUCACUUUAUUAAGUUGCCCCAUUUCAUUAAGUAAAAUUGUGCCCCUCAAAUUCACAAGAUUCCAAAGUUGUGGGAAUGAAAAGUACAAUGAGACGUCCAACUAAAUCAUAUAAUGUUUGUGAAUUUUGAAUCAAAGUUUUUUGAUUGUGCCACAGAAAGAACAAGAAUAUUAUUUACACUUUGUUUGAGCCAAUGCAAUUUUUCUUAUGUAAUGCAAGCAAAAUUGAAUCUGAAGGAGAAAAAUUUCCAAUAGGAUACGACUUUGGGGAUCAAAUAACACCCAUAGUAAAAAAGCAUAGGUCUAUUUAUAUCACAUCUAUAUUAUCUCACAUCUAAGUUAUGACAUCAGCGAAAGUCAAUGCUUUUCCAGCCCACCGCAUUUUCUUAUAUUUAUUUUUUUGCGACAUUUUUUCAUUCGUUUUUUUAUUGGAGCGUGCUAAAAAAUGCAAUAAGACUUGCCUAUGAAUCGAACUCAAGACUAGAUGGUGGUAGUUGAGAGCUCCCACCAGUAUAACCAUUACAUGCAUUUGAUAAAUUCUAAGCGGCAUAUCUUUAAGAAAAUACAACAGAGUUGAUAUUAGAAGAAAUUUUCAAGAAAAAUGUAAAAAAUUUUAAAUGUAAAAUAUUUCUGAAAACCAAAGAAAACUUGAAAUUUCCAAAGUAUUUUUCAAAUAUAAAUAAAGUUUGUAAUGCCAAACAUUUUUUGAAAAAUUAGAAAACAAUUUGAUAUUCCGAUUUUCUUAAAAAAGAUGACACUUUUUGAAAAAUUCCCGAACAAUUUAUAAAUCAGGUACACCUUUUAAAAUUCCAAUUCCUUUAAAAAACAUGGUUAAAUGAAUAUAUUUUUAUUGUAAUCAUAACUUUUCAACAAAUGUUUUUUUGCACCAUUAAAAGAAUGAGGGUGCAAAGAAUGUUCAUGUAGUUCACAAGAAUGUCCGUGAUGUUUAAUAAAAAUGUAUUAUACAAUGGAAAAUAAUCAUAACAUUCAAAUAAUUAUUAUUUACAAUCUUUUAAAAGAAACUUCACGCAUUUAGAAAAAUCAAAACAUUUUCUAGAAAAAAUAUUUGUCCGAUGUAAAAAAAAUGUUCACGUAUUUUUUUAAAAAUCAUACAAUUUAGAAAAAUGAUUUAAAAAAUGUUUACCAUGUAUUCUAAGAAUGCUUGGGCCUGUACUUGGAAAAAAAUAUUCAUCAUGCAUUUUUAAACAAUGGUAUGUGUGUUAAAAAAUGUUCCUAGUGUAUACAUGAAAAUGUACAAUGUGCAUUACAAAAGUUGACAUGUAUUUGUGAAAGCUAAAUUGCUCCCUAAGGUGGUUUUGAUAAUUAGUCACAUCAUAUGCAUCAUUGGACUAGUGAGUUUAUUCAAAUGCAUUUAAAAAAGUUCAAAGAUGCUUUGGCUAUAGGAUUCUGUGGAGAUACCCCUUUGAUGCAAGGAAGGAAUAUGAUUGGUUCAAGCUUCAAGCAAGAAGACUCUACAUUUUAUACUUUGUGAGAAAUCACUUUGAGUCCAUAGAAAAGCCAAUACUAUUAAAAAAGAGUGAGGUGUGAUGAUGAAUUGGUUGCUCAAGUGCUUAGAGAUAGCCACCAAAAAUACUGAGUCACUUUCCGACAAAAUAUAUAUGUCCUAAGCCACAUAAGCAAAAUCGAUGCCACCAACAUUUCCUACUCGUCCAUACCGAUUUUACACUUAGACAAAUUAUAUGCCAAACCCAUCAUCUCGGUACAACCAACAUUCCUAUCGGUGCCACCGAGAUUUGGUGACCAACAUUCUGUUGAGAUGAUUUCAAGUUUCGGAUUUUUUGAGUUUGAAUUUUGUCUCACCGAGUUUUGGAAACCAGUCUAGGUCAUCGUAUCGGUACCACCAAGAUUCUUAUAUCGGUCUCACCGAGAAUUCAAAAGUUGCCACAUUUAGUGCAACUUGGUACCACUGAGAUUCUUUUUGGUGUCACCGAGUUGGGCAAUACUGUUGUAACGGUUGGAUUUUGGGGGAUGCUUAUAUAUACCCCUCCACCUACCUCUCAUUCGUAGAGGAAGCACUCAGAACACACUUACACUUGUGAUAUCCAUUUUUCUGAGAGAGAGACACCUACUCAUGUGUUGAGAUCAAGAGAUUCCAAUCCAUUCAUUUGAACCUUGAUUUCUAGCCUUCCCAAGUUGCUUUCCACAAAAUCAAUCUCUCUUACCCAUGCCAAAUCUAUGAGAGAGUGAUUGAGUGUUGAGGAGACUAUCUUUUGAAGCACAAGAGCAAGGAGUUCAUCGUUCUACCACAUUGAUUACCUUUUGGAGGGUGGUGCCUCCUAGAUAGGUUAGGUGUCUCUUGGGAGCCUCUUACUUCGUAUUGUGGAGUUGAACCAAGAUGUUUGUAAAGGCAAGGAGAUCGCCUACUUCAUGAAGAUGUACCGUGAGUGAGGCUAGUCCUUCGUGGGCGGAAGCCGUGGUGGAAUAGACAAGGUCACUUCUUCGUGGACCCCUUGUGGGUGGAGCCCUCCGUGGACUCUCGCAGCCGUUACCCUCCAUGGGUUGUAGUCUCCACUAACAUGGACGUACGAUAACGCCACCUACCGGAACCAUGCUAAAAAUCUCCGUGUCAACCUUUGUGUUUGAUCUCCCUACCUCACCCUCUACUUUUUUUUGAUGGGAAACUGUAAGCAAAACCCCUCACAACGAGUUUUUUUUGAAAUAAUAAGAACUCAAAUUCGCGCCCGUGGGGACUUGAACGUGGGUGGCUGGGUUGUACAUCUACUCCACUAGACAAGUGAGCUAGGCUCACUUCCUUUACUCUUGCAUGUUUUACUUUCCGCUGCUAUACUCUUAGAUAUGCAUGUGUAGGGUUUACUUGACUAGUUAUAGUUGCUAAAACUGUCCCACACUUCAAAUUGGGAAACAACUAAGUUUUUAUCUUGUCAAGUAGUCUAAUCACCCCGCCUCUAGACAUACUUUCGAUCCUACAAUUUGGAAAAAUAACUAUAUAGGGGUACUGGGUUGGGAAUGAUUUGCAUGAGGAGAGUGGACAUGCAACUAUGUCGGACAUGAGCUGCAUGACUGAGUCGGGUGGGUUUACGUGUUGGGGUGGAAUGGAACUAGAUAGGGGCCGAGGCAAGUUGCGUGUUGAAAAACAAAACACAAGCUUACUUGUGCAUUAAGGGUGGACUUGCAAUUGGAAGAAGAGCUAGGUUGUGAGUGGAGGAUAGACUUACAUAUGGGACAACUACAAAUUGAGACCAAUUGCGUGUCAAUGGUUGACUUAAAACUGGGAUAAAACAAACUAUGGUUCAAGUUGCGAGUUAACGGUGGAUUUGCAACUAGGAUGAUGACAAAAAUAUAGGCUCACUUGCGAGUCAUUUGUGGGCUUGCAACUGGAAUAAAACAAACUAUGAGACUAGUUGCGAGUCGAUGUUGGACUUAUAACCGAGACAAGCAUAUAAACUAUGAUACGAGUUGAGAGUUGAGAGUAAACUUGCAAUUGAGAUGAAAAACAAAACACAUACCCAAUUGCGUGUCGAGGAUGGACUUGUAACUGAGAAAACAAAAAUAUGGGCCCGACUGCGAAUCGAGGAUGGACUUGCAACAGGGACAACAAAAAAACUAUGAUCCCACUUGUGAUUCGAGGACAAACUUGCAAUUGAGGCCCCUACAAGUACAAAGCCCUUAGUUACGAGUUGAGGUUGGAUUCGCAACUCGGGAAACUACAGGUACAGAAAGCCCAGUUGCGAGUCGAGGAUGGACUUGGAACCUUGAAAAUACGACUACAAAAAAGCCUCUGUUCCGAUUUGAGGGUGGACUUGCAACUGGGGCAACUACAUGUACAAAAAGGUCCCAGUUGUGAGUCGAGGGUAGAUUUUCAACUACGAUAACUACAGGUACAAACCUCGAGUUACGAGUCAACGGUGGACUUGCUACUAGGGUACCUAAAAUUACAACGCCUCGAGUUACGAGUCGGCGAUGGAGUUGAAGCUGGUGCACCUACAACUACAAAGCCUCGAGUUGCGAGUUGAGGAUGGACUUGCAACUAGAUUAACUACAAAGUACAAAAGAAAACCAGUUGUGAGUCAAGGGUUGACUUGCAACUAAGACAUCCACAGUUACACAAAAACCCCUAGUUGCAAAUCAAGGAUGGACUUGCAAGUGGAGCAACAAUAGGUACAAAGCCAGUUGUGAGUCGAUGGUAGACUUGCAACUUGGCCAACCACAACUACAAUACCUUCAAAAGAAGGGUGAAACUAUGAAAUUGGGAUGAAACCAACUAUGGGACCAGCUGCGUGUCGAGGGUGGACCUGGAACCGGGAUAAGAAAAAAAGUACAAGCUCAAGUUGUGAACCGAUGAUGGGGUUGAAACUCGAACAACUACAGGUUCAGUUACGAGUCGAUGAUGACUCCAAACUUGCACAACUACAAAACUAGGAGCCCAGUUGCGAGUCAUGGGUUGAUUUGCAACUAGGAUAAAACAAACUACUGGACCAGUUGCGAGUCAAGGGUGGACCUGCAACCGGCAUGAGAAACUAAACACAGUCUGAGUUGCGGCUCAAGGGUGGGCUUGAAACUGCUAUGAAACAAACUUCAUGCCUAGUUGCGAGGUCAGGAUGUACUUGUAACUGGGACAACUACAUGAAACUAAGAUAUGAGUUGCAAGUCGAGGGUGGACUUGCAACACGGACAAACUACACAAAACUACGAUACGAGUUGUAGUCGCGAGGGUGAACUUGUAACUGGGACAACUACAAAACUACGAGUCGAGUUGCAAUUCAAGUAUAUCAUUGCAAUUGGGAUGAAACAAACUACGGGCCUAAUUGCGAGUCAAGGGUGAACCUGUAACUGGGAUGAAAAACUACACAUAGACCGAGUUGCGAGUCAAGACUAGACUUGCAUCUAGGAUGAAAUAAACUACGGGCCUAGUUGUGAGUCAAGUGAGUACUUGCAACUCGGGAAAAUACACAAAACGACUACGAGUAGCGAUUCAACAGUUGACUUGCAACUCGGACAACUAAAUGAAACUACGAUAAGCGUUGCGAGUCCAGGGUAGACUUGCAGCUGGGACAACAAUAAGGCUAUGGGCUCAGUUGCGAUUCGAAGGCAAAUUUGCAAUUGGGACAACUACGAAACCAUGAGCCCAGUUGUGAGUCAAGGGUGAACUUGCAACCAGGAUGAAACAAACUACAUGCCUAGUUGCGAGGCAAGGGAGGACUUGCAACUCGGCAAGUACACAAAACUACCAUACUAUUUGGGAGUCAAGGAUGGACUUGCAACCGAAACAAUAACAAACUACGAGCCCAGUUACGAGUUGAAUGUGGACUUGCAACUAGGAUGAGAAAAACACAUAAUGAUUUAUGAGUUUAGGGUAAACUUGUAACUAGGAAAACUAAAAAUUCAUUUACGAGUUAAAGAUGGACUCUACAAAUUCUCGGUCAUGCCAAAAAAACACACAACGAAAAUGAACAAAAAAUAUAAAGGGAUCGCGCCUCCCAAGCAACGAUAAAAGUAACAUGAGAACAUGCGAGCAUAAAACAAAAUGGAACAAGAGGACGCGCGACAAGAGAGAAAGAGCUGACACGGACGCACAUGAUCGACUUUGUGCAAACAUCAAACAAAUCAGAUGAUUAUAACUUGAUAAGACAUCACUAAAUCUCAUCUAAAUAAGAUUUAGCAAAUCUAAAAAAUAUCUAGUUACACUCUCCUCUACUACACAGUCAAACUAAAAUAAACAUAUAACCCACAAAAAGCUAGUACACACAACGUAAAAGGGCACACUAAAAAAAGUCAUAUAUGACCUCACUGCUUAACGAGGAGCGAAUGAAAAACACGACACAUCAACAAUGAAAGUGAAUCAUAAGCAUAUGAAUCAGAUGAGACGUUGUUAACUCACAUUUACUCCCUCCGUACCUAAAUAUAAGUCUUUUAAUAUAUUUCAUUAGGUGUCUACAUACAAAGCAAAAUGAAUGAAUCUAUACUCUAAAACAUGUCUAUAUACAUUUGUAUGUAGUCCAUUAGUGCAACAUCUAGAAAGACUUAUAUUUAGGAACGGAGGGAGUAGAUGAGAAUUAGACGUGAGUUAACAAAAACAAUAAAAAAAGAAACCCCUGGAUCAUACCGUAGUGACCCACCAAAUGACGCACGUAGAAGUAGGUAAGUAAGUAAGUAUCUUGGAUUACCUGCGAUAGUGGGAGCAGAUAGGAGUGAAAGCUUUGAAUACUUUUGUGACAAAAUCAAGAAGCUUCUGAAGGGGUGGAUGGAAAAGCAACUGUCAACAGGAGGGAAAGAAAUCUUGUUAAAAGCAGUGGCUCAAUCCAUCCCUGUCUUCGCUAUGUCAGUUUUCUGUUUGCCUAAGGGAACUUGCAAGGAUAUCACGGAUGUAAUUGCUCAGUAUUGGUGGGGAGAUGAUGAAGAAAACAAAAAAAUGCACUGGUUCUCGUGGUGGAAACUAUGCAUCCGAAGUGUGAUGGUGGCAUGGGUUUCCGCGAUCUUCACUCUUUUAACUUGGCCCUUCUUGCGAAACAAUGUUGGAGAUUGAUCACAAGGUCGGAGUCCAUCUGUGCUCGCAUCUUGAAGGCAAAAUACUACCCAAAUACAGACUUGCUACACGCUGGACCAAAGAGCGGAUCUUCGUUCACAUGGCAAAGCUUGAUGGCGGGCUUGACUGCGUUUAAAAGAGGGUACAUUUGGCGAAUUGGUUCGAGGGAAAAUGUAAGUAUAUGGAAUGAUCCAUGGAUACCCUCAAGCCCGGACAGAAGGGUGAUAACUCCUCGGCGGCAGAUUCUGAUUUCGAGGGUGGUAGAGCUCAUUGAUCCAGUCACCGGCCAAUGGGAUGAACAAUUGAUACGAGACAUCUUUUACCCAGUCGAUGCAAACAGAAUCUUGCAGAUACCUUUAAAUUUUCAAGCAUUUGAUGACUUCAUUGCGUGGCACCUCACAAGGAAUGGUAUUUUCUCGGUGAGGAGUGCUUAUCAUGAACAAUGGUCACAUAAGCUCAGGGGUCAAUCCCUUGUGAAUUCAGUGUCCACCAGUACUAUGCAGGCAGCUAUUUGGAAGAAGCUCUGGGAGUUACAAGUGCCAUGGAAAAUACAGAUUUUCUUUUGGCGGGCGUUGCGUGGAAUUGUACCACUAAAAUCCAUUCUUGCUAAUAAGCACAUCCCUAUUGAUGGGGAGUGUCCGGUGUGCCAUAGGGGACCUGAAGACAUGCGGCAUAUGUUAUUCCAGUGUGAUUUGGCGAGAAGGUUGUGUGCUGGACUAGGGCUGAUUGAUCGUAUUGAACAAGCAGUUCAAGUGGAUCGCUCAGGGUCAGCCAUCUUAGAAUUUCUCCUACUAGAGCUGGACCAACCAAUGUCGAUCAUGUCAAGUAUUAAUGACAAAGAGGUAAUAGCGGCUGGCUGCUGGUAUCUCUGGUGGCUCCGCCGGCGACACACCCAUCAUGAUUCUUGCCCUCCAUCCUUCAGGUGGCAUACCUCAAUUCUAGCAAUAGUGGGAAAUUACAUAAAAUCUUUAUCAAAGAAGAGGGAACCGGUGGAACACAAGUGGAAGAGACCAGAGGCAAGAUUUAUAAAGCUAAAUGUGGAUGCUUCAUUCCAUUCAGAUGAAGGAUCGAGUUCUACUGCAGGUAUCUUACGAGAUGAAAAGGGUGGCUUUAUUGCAGGGUUUUGCAGAUUCAUUCCCUUUGCAGCUGACGUUGUCACGAUUGAAGCAAUGGCAAUGCGAGAUGGUUUACAUUUGGUGAACUCCUUGGGCUUUAACAGGGUAGAAGCGGAAUCAGAUUCUUUGAGCGUCAUCAAGUGUUGCCAAGGGCAAGAUCAGUGGUGGGAUGCAGCAGCGGCUGUCUUUGCUGAGUGCAUAGAUAUGGCUACAUCUAUAGGAAAGGUCAUCUUUUCUCAUUGUUUUCGUGAAGCUAAUUCAGUAGCUCAUGAGCUAGCAAAGUUUAGUUUCUGUAAUAAAGUUGAGCACAAUUGGACUAAUGAACCUCCUGAGUUCUUAGUUAGCCAAUUGAUGAAUGAUGUUUUGAUUAUUUGAGUUAAUAAAGCUAGCCAUGAUGGCCUUUCCUCAAAAGAAAAAAGGAAACGCAUGUACGCGACACUAGAUGCAGCAACAAAAUAAUCCAUGAUUAAGAUUUGAAAAAAUGUAAAACAAACAGAUGAGAGUAUGUUUUUCAUGAAUAUUAAAAAAAAUGGAAAACAAGAAAAUACAAAUAUAAAUAAAAGAAAACCAGGAAACUAAAAUACUUGAUAAUUUGAAACAAAUAAUAAAACAGAAAAAAGAAAAAGAAAAAGAAGAAACAACAAAAGUAAUGCGGCAGCCGAUAUAGGCUACAGCCCAUAUAACAAGAAGAACCUAUAGGUACGAGGGCAGCUACCUAACAUACCGUUGGCGAUCCUAAAAAAAGUGAUCCUCAAACGCAACAUUCGUUUCUUCAAAAACAGGGUUGGGGGGGGGGGGAUAACAUAGUGUAUGAAACAGAACUACUAGACGGAUGAAAAAAGCAAAUCAAUCCGUGGUUGGAUGAUUGGAGAGACAGUGAUAUCCCAGCACAUCAGGGUUUAAAUCCUGAUGCUACACUAUUUUUAAAUUUAUUUCAGGAUUUCCGACAAUAUGCUUUCAGUGGGAGGAGACAUUCCCGUCGAGGAUAAGAUGCCUACAGUGACUUUGUAAAUCUCAAGACGAUAUACUCGCUCAGUCUUUGAGAGAUGUUCAUAGGGAUAAGAUGUGUGUAUGUUCGGUUUAGGAGUUAAAUCUGAGAUAAGUAUUUUACAUCUAGAUGUGAAAUAGCAAUUUCAAAAAUUCAUAUGAAAAAUCUCUGAAUGAAAAAGACUCAUUAACUUAGAAACUCCAUGCAAAAAUACAAGGCUAACUUUUUUUCUCUUAAAUAAAAAAGAAAAAUAGAGAAAAAUGACGGAGGAUAACACUUGGCAGUGGGCGGGUGAAACACAUCACAAUUUUAUUUUCAAAUUGAUCUCUAACCAGGAAAAUACCCCGCGCAUACAACCAAGACCACGCACUCACCCCAUCGCAUGGCCUCCACACGCCUUGUCGAUAUCCAUGGUGGCAUCUAGCGCCGGCCGGGUGGCACGGAUCCCCCUUCACUCCCUCAGCGUGUGAACGUCGUCGCUCCAGCCCAACCGUUGCUCGUGUUCAGGAUAAGCUGCCCAGCUCGUCCGCCCUUCUUAUUGCCGCUGCUUCUCAGCUCACACGCUCCAACACUAUCCUCUCGUGUCUCGUCGAGCUAUCUGUCCACGGAGUAGUACCUUCCCGAGCUAGCUCGCAGCUCCGCCGCAAUGGCCACCGUGGUGAGCAGCCUCCGCUUGCCCUUCUCCGUCUGCGCCGCCGCCCCCUCGGCGCCCAUGGCAUCCCGCGUCGCGCUCCCGCUGUCGUCGACGGCUGCCAGGGGCAUGAGGCUCCGCGCGCAGGCGACGUACAAGGUGAAGCUGAUCACGCCGGAGGGCGAGGUGGACCUCGAGGUCCCCGACGACGUCUACAUCCUCGACCACGCCGAGGAGGAAGGGAUCGACCUGCCCUACUCCUGCCGCGCCGGCUCCUGCUCCUCCUGCGCCGGGAAGGUGGUCUCCGGCCAGCUGGACCAGUCCGACCAGAGCUUCCUCGACGACGACCAGAUCGAGGCGGGGUGGGUGCUCACCUGCGCCGCGUACCCCACCUCGGACCUCGUCAUCGAGACACACAAGGAGGAGGAGCUCACCGCUUGAAUUCACUGAUUUUGUGUAUUUCCAUCCGUUUCCGGCGUGCGCGUGUAUAUGCACGAUGCAUGAACUGUAUCAGGAUAUUGAGGAGUUACAGAGUAAUUAGUACUUGCUG